UGGGAUCUUCCUUCAAGUGAAGUUAAAAGUGGUGAGAAGAGCGGUCCUGAACUUGAUGAAUAUGCUGAAGCUGAGGAACUUGUGAAAGAAAAGGUAAUUCUCCAACAUGGGAGCCUUAUCUUCAGACUUUUUUUUACAUGUGAUAUUUUGUUUAGUGAUUUUGGAAUUGUAAGAUUUAUUUUGUGCUCAUUUAAGCAUUUAUGGAGGUUUCCAGUUUUUCAUAACGGCUUAUGCUUUCUUCGUGUUUUAGGUCUCAAAGAGGCUUACAAAUCCAUUCGAGAUUGUCUGGAAGUCAUUCAGCCUUGUAUUCUUUGCUGUGAGUAUCUUUUUGUCCUUGUUUUCAACAAGAAGUUUGGCUCGAGUUUAAGAAAUAAAAUCUCUGUUUUCCUUCUUUUGCUUUCUUAUGUAUUUAAGUUUAUAAAUUAGAUGGUAACUUCUAUUAGGAUAUCUAUUCACACAAAGAAAAGCUAUUUCAUUAUAGAAUAGUUGAAAUUAGUAUGUUUUAUGUUGGGGUUCCAUGCUUCCGAUUUUACUAUGUUGUAAUUGCUUACAGGAAUGGGGAGAUCGCUCAAUGCUUGCAACAAUUGCUCUUGGUGCUGCUCAGGUUCAACCACAUAAGCUUCUGAUUGUGCCAAAACUAUUUACCUUUUAAUGAUCCAUUAUAUCAGAGCAUAAUUGUCUUCUUACUUCUCCUACAGUCUCCAUGGGGUGUGGCAACUGGAGCCAUUGCUGGACAUCUGGUUGCGACAUCAAUUGCAAUUCUAGGAGGAGCUUUUCUUGCCAACUACAUUUCAGAAAAACUGGUAAGACCCAUGACUUUUUAUCACCGCCACAAGCUCCAGAGCCUUUCAUGUUAUUUUUCCAUGCGACUCACUCUCAUCUUUCAAUCAGGUUGGCUACUUGGGUGGAGUGCUUUUCCUUAUUUUUGCCGUUGCCACAUUUUUUGGAUUUUUCUAAUUAAUGCAUGAGGAAUUUAGAGAGAAUGUUUAGUGCAACUAUAAUGGAGCAUUACACCUGGGAUUAUUGGACAUCAUUUGUGACUAAGAGAAGAAAGUGGACAAAAAGGAGCCUGAAAUGCACCAUGGACAUGGAAUAGUCUAACAGACAUUUCACACUUCAAAAACUCAAGUUAGGAUGGAUAGUUCAUCUAUGUAUGUUAUGUUGUACCUUCUGCUCUUUUUGAAGGAUCACAUAUCAGAAAACUUUAGAUGGAGAGGUGGAUUUGUAUAUUCAAAAAUUUUUCAGUCGCUCAAUUGAACAGGAGUUGUGAAAUAAGAUACUGCCCCUCAGUAUUAUUCAACAUCAAGGACAUGAAAGUUCUGAACACAAGCAAUCUUGUUACAGACUGUCUGCUGUUCCUGAAACCAAGAUGAAGCUACCAUGGUUGAACUAUUGAAAUCUUUCUUGAUCAAAGAUUAUAUGCUUCCCCAUCCCUGCAAUUAUUGUUUAAUUUGGAGUAUAUCUUAAAAUGGUGUGUGCAUCUACAGUUUGGACAGCUUUUAGACGCAUCAAUUGGCAUGAGUCAUGACAGGUGAUUUAUGGCACAUAUGUGGACUUCAUAUCUCCGGCAAUUUAUAGUUCUUGAAAUGUGGUAUAUUUAAUUACAUAAAUGUGAAAAAUUAAACAUGUGGUAGGACAGGCUGAACUUGCUGAAUUGGAUGGACCCUUUUGUGAAGAUCAGCCACAUCAAAGGUUUUGGACUUGGCAAUUAUUUGAAGCAAAAGAAUUCCUUUUUAAGUUUAAAUCAUGGCAGGGCAUGUGAUUCUUUUUGGCUAUCAAGAAAUUUUGGAGGUAGGUAUAGAAGAAGAGAGACAAUUGGAUGACAACCCUGAGAAUUUUUUAGGGUACUCGGUACUAAGGCGGCAGUAGUUUUAUGCAUAUGUUCGCUAAUUGACCACUCUUAUCAACUGAAUAUCGAAUGAAGUAAUUGGUAAUUGUGACAUAUAUUCAUUAUUGAAGUGUAAUAGAAGCUAGGAACCCAGCAUAAAACUAAAGGGGAAUAUGAAAAAUUAGUUCCCUAUAUUCUCCGUUACAGAGAAAAAGGCCAUGAUUUAUUUUUGUUUUUCUUAAAGGAGAACUAGGGUUUAAAGCGGAAUAUAUGUUUACAAUCUUAAAUUUUACAAAAAAAUUAUUGUAACUUUCUGAAGAUAUUUUAUAACAUAUUUAAACUGUUAAAAAAAAAUAAUAUGAAUUAAAAUUUUAGUGUAAUUAUAGUAUAUAUCACAAGAUUCAUAUUGUCAUUUAAUUUUACAAUUAACAAUCAAUAGUAUAAAAAUAAUAAUUAUAUAUAAUAUAUAAAUUUUAAAAUUAAAUUUCACUUUAUAUUUUGUAUACUCAAAAAAUAUAUUUUUGAAUUUAAAUUAAUUUAAAAAUAUUAUAAAAAAUUCACGCUGGCAAGAUCAUCUUAAUUUUAAUUUUAAAUGGUUUAAAAGUAUUAUAAAUAUUUUUAAAAGGUUAAGAGUAACAAUAGGCUAGGGGUUUUCUAGUGUAAAUAUAUAUUCUGCAAUCACCCACAAAUAUAAUGAAAAUAAUGAUGAAUCCAAUCGGGUCAUAUUAAGUAACAUUUUUUUGUUGAACUCAGUAGAUCCACCCAAUCAUUGAUUUAAUUUUAAAAAUACUUUUUUUUUAAAAUAUACCUUGAAAUUAAUUUAUUUCAAAUGCAUCAAAUAAUUUUUAACAUUCGCUCGGUUAAAUUUAAAAUUAAAUCGAAUUAAAUAAAUUAAAAAUUAAAAUUUUAGUAUUUAUAAAAAUUAAAUUGAAUCGAUUUUAAUAAAAAAAUCAAAUCAAACUGAAUCUAUCUGAUUCGAUUCGAUUCAGUUCGAUUUGAUUGAUUUUAAUUUUUAAUAAAUUUUUUAUUUUUUACACUUUAUUUUUAAUAUUUUAAAAUUUAAAUAAAAUAUUUUAAUUUUAAUAUAAUCUAAUAUCUAUAUAUUAUUAAAAAAAAUAUAAUAUUAUCACAAAUCGAUUUUAUUUAAUUUUUUUUAUUAAAAUCGAAUAAAAUGAAAAUAAUUAAAAUUUUUAAAAUUAAAUACUGAAUUAAAUUAAAAUAAAUAAAAAAAUAAAUUAAAAUUUUAAAUCAAUUCAAUAUCAUUAAUGUUUUUUAUUUGAAUCGGAUAUUGAUUAAUGGUAUUUGCAAGUGUCGUUUAUCAAUUUAAAAUUAAAAAUAAAAAAAUUAUUAAUUUAGGAUCAAUAAUAAACUAUUAAUGCGUUUAGACUUUGACCACCAAAUAACGGUUAAAAUUAAUUUUUAGCGCCGAGCGUCAUUAUUAUUUUUUAAAAAUAGCCGGCGCAAUUUAACGCAGGCCAUAAUUUAUUUUUUUUUAUUAAAAUAUUAUAAUUAUAUUAAUAUAUUAUUUUUAUAUUAUAUUACUUUAUAAUUUUAUUUAUAUUAAUUUUUUAUUAUAAUAAAUUUUUUAUAAUAUAUUUUAUUAAUUUUAAUAUAUUAUUAUAAUAAUAUUAUAAUUAAAUAAUAUUAAUUAUAAAUUUAUUGAUAUAUAAUUAUUAUAUUUUAUAUAUUUUAUUAUUUUUAACAUAUAAAAAUUAAUAAAAAAUAUAAAAAAUAAUUUAAAAUUAUAAUAUUAUUCUAUUAUUAAAUAUAUAUAGAAACACUGAAUUAAAUAAUUAAUAAAAAAUAAAAAAAUUAAUUAAUUAAUUAAUAUAAAUAUUUAAAAUUAUAAAAAUUAAAUUUAUUUUUUAUUGGACUAUUAUUGCGCAUUGUACAUAAUUACAAAAAUUACAUUGAAUUAAUAAUAAUUUUAAUUUAAAUAUUAAUAAUAAAAUAUAUUAAAUAUUAAUAUAUUUUAUAUUUAAAUUAUAAAAUAAAAUUAUACUUUGAUUAGAUGGUGUACGUAGUUAUUAGAUUGUUUAUCAUUUAUAAAAACAAUAAAUAUAAUUAAUUUAUUUUAUUAUUAGAUUAAUUAAAUUAAAUUUUUUAAUAAAUUACAAACAAUUGAGUGGCAAAUACUAAAAUAAUAUAAUAAUUCUAAAUAUUGUAUGUAGAUAAUAAUUUAUUUAUAAUUUAUUAAAGAAAAAAUAAAUUAAAUAAUUAAUUCAAUAAAAAAAUUAUAUAUGUUUAAUAAUAAAAUAAUAUUAUAAUUCUAAAUAUUUUUAUAUGCAGUUUUUUACUAUUAAUUUUUAUAAUACUUUUAUAUAUUAAAAAUAUUUUUAUAAAAUAUAAUAAUUAUUUAUAAUUUAUUUUAGUAUUUUAUUGAGUUAUAAAAUAAUACUUGAUGACCGCUGGAUUUUUUCACUCCGGACCAGGGGCUUAACCACAGCUAAAGGCCCAUAACAUAGAGGCCCACGUAUCUGAUAUACCCAACAAGUCUGACUCAUUCAACCUUCAAGACCGGGCUCGGCCCAGCUUCUUCACUCAUAACGACCCAGCCCACACGAAGCAUGCUCUCUCCUCUCAGGCCUAGCGUCCGGCCCGACUCUCGGCCCAACCCAGGAUCCAGAAUAAUAUUCACCAGACAGCCUGGCAGAUCCGCUUAAACGUACGCACGAGGAGAAUCAGAGGCCGUUACGCAUGGAGCAGGCGGCUGAUACCCUAGUACCUCCGAAUCCGCAUGGCAGAGACGCGUGGCCCAAUCCUGGAGAGACCUUUACACGUCACCAGCAAGCAAGACAAUGUAUAAAAGAGGAAUCCCCUCCUCAGGAAACUUAAACCUUAUUCUGUGAAACAUAAACCCUUGUAAAACCCUAUUCUAUUGGAUCUCAGAUCAUCAAUACUAUUAUAUAAUUAAACGUAUAUAAAAUUAUUAAUAUUAUUUAAUUACAAUAUUACUGUUUUAAUAUAUUAAAAUAAUAAAAAUUUUAUUACUGAAUAAAUAUUUUCAAUAUUAUUAAAUUAUUUUUAUAAUUUUAAUUAUAAUUAAAUUAUUUUUAUAUAUUUAAUGGUAAUAUAAUAUUAAUUUUAUAAUUUUAAAAUUAUAUAAUACCAGUAAAUUUUUAUUUAAAUAUUAAUAAUAAAAUUUAUUAAAUAUUAAUAUAUUAAAAUUAUAAAAAAAUAUUUAUUAUUAUAAAAAUAUAAUAUAAAUAAUAUUAUUAACUAAUAUAAUAUAAAUAUAUUAUUAUAAUAUAUUAAUAAUAAAAAAAUAAAAAAAUUAAUAUUAACUUAACACUUUAAAUAAUGUCAUUUAAAAAAUAAAAAAUAAAAUAAAUAAUGAUAUGACACCAUUUAAAAUAUCACAUAUUAUUAUUUUUAAAAAAAAUCUUAACACUUUUAAAAGGCAUCAAAAGUCAUUUUUUAUGGCUAUCGGUCAAAUCUCAUCUAUAAAUAUCUUGUAUUUAAUUUUAAAUUAAAUUUUUUUUUAAUUUUCAAAUCUAAAUCAUUUUUUAUAGCUAUCUGUCAAAUCUCACCGUCAAAUUUCACAUCUAUAAAUAUUUUAUAUUUAAUUUUAAAUUAAUAUUUUUUUUUUUUUUCAAAUCUAAAUGAUAAAAGUCAUCCUUGCGACGACAAGUGGCUCAGACCUGCUAGAUUAUAACGAAAACGCCAGCUCUUAGCCCCAGUUAGUUGAGUAUACUCGGGAAGAAGAUUGGGAGAAAGCCGGAGAUGGAACCGAAUUCUCAACCCAAUUCUACACAAGACUGGCCUACAAGAGCAUGGAACCUACUCUGUAAACUGCGGGACCAAUCACCGCUUGUUCAGUGCAUCACCAACUUCGUUUCCAUGGAUUUGAUGGCCAACACUCUCCUAUCUGCCGGUGCAUCUCCGGCUAUGAUCCACUCUAUUGAAGAAAUUCCCGACUUCACUCCUCAUGCUCGUUCCCUCUGUAUCAACGUUGGCACUUUUUCCCUUAACCGGCUACCAGCCAUGAAAGCUGCUGCGGAGUUGGCAACUAAAUUCGGGAAGCCUUGGGUUCUUGACCCCGUUGCUGCUGGAGCUUCCGGUUUCCGGCUGAACGCUUGCCUGGAGCUUGUGGGAAUGAAGCCCACUGUUAUUAGGGGAAAUGGGUCGGAGAUCAUCGCUCUAUCUAAGGCUUCUCUGGGCGCCUCCAAGGUAUUAUAGUUUGAUGUUUGAUAUUUACACUUUGUACAGAGCAAUUUUUCAUGUCAGUUUCACAAUUUAAAUUGGGAUGCUUGCAUUUCUUUUUUGGGUUCUAUCUUAUUUAUACGUGUAUAUAUAUAUAUAUAUAUUCUGAUUUCAUAAAUGGAUUUCGUGUUAAAGGGUGUAGACAGCUCCCAUGAGUCGAUUGAUGCAAUAGAAGCAGCAAAGUCUUUGGCUCAAGCAAGUGGUGCCAUAGUUGCGGUUUCAGGUGCUGUUGAUAUCAUCACAGAUGGAAACCGAGUGGUUGGUGCUCACAAUGGGGUACCCAUGAUGCAGAAAAUUACAGCAACAGGAUGUGCAGUCACAGCCCUCAUUGCGGCUUUUGUUGCUGUUGAUCCAUUACAUGCUCUGGAAGCAACAGCUUCAGCAUUGUCCAUAUUUGGGAUUGCUGGUGAACUGGGAAUGAAAAUGGCCAAAGGACCAGCUUCAUUGCGGAUGCACUUGAUUGAUUCCCUUUAUGGGCUUGAUCAAUCUGCUCUGCUUUCACAUACAAAGAUCACCAGCCUGUAAUAAUCCUUUGGGAGCUCUGUGCAAUUAAUGUGUCAAUUAUAUUAGGUUUCCAAUCUAGAUUUGCCCACAAAUUUUCUUUUGAAAUUCUUUUGUUUCUGGCUACACAGAAGAGUCCAUGCAUGAUGUUCGUCCUUGUGGAAAUCAAAAAAAGCAACCAACCAUAUGCUGUAUUCCAUCACCAUUUCUGUUGGAAGCAUCUAAUACAGAUGCAUUACUACAGAACCAUUAACAAAGAGAAAUCAGAAACAUUCAUUUUUACAACAAUCCCACAUUUAAUCCAGUUAUACAACAUGCUUAGUGUUUUAGAUGGACAAUUAUCCUCAGUAAUGUUUCUGCACCGUCUAUGGCAUGCUGACCAGGUGGAAUGAGUCCUCGCAACUCUGCAAUUCCAACAGCAUUUUUAUACUUACCUGUUCCACCAGUCACUGACAAAUGUGACAUUGCACUUCCAAUCUUGUAUAUGCCAUAGAAGUUGAGGCUGUCCCCAAAUUCUCCUCCUUCAAAGAUCGCUGUAAAUGCCAUCAUCUGUGUGCUCCCAUCUGCAGAACUUGCAAUGUAAACUCCUUGAGCUUUUCCCAGUUGCUGUGAACCAAGUUCAGGGCUGGUGGUCAAGAUGUCGUCAAUGACAGUGAUGGUUCCAAAGCCUAGUCCCAACCCGUCCGGUCCCAGCUGGGUUUGAACUUGACCAUUUGGGUUCUGACCAUUGGGAUUUCCUGCAAAAGCUGUACCAGCCAAGCCAGUUCCCAGUGGAAUGCCAUUGAUACCAUUAACAGUUGGAAUAGCGCCAUUGGCGUUAGGGAUUGCUACUGCACCGUCUGGGGGAAUAAAUCCUACUGGCUUGGCAAAGGGUACUUGGCCACUAUAAAUGUUUCCCAGCAAGCCGGUGAUUGGCCUAGCAGUGGGGUUACUCCCCCCAAGAAUGUCAUGCAUGUACAACUCAAGAACAGGCUCUUCGCCGACCAGAGUAGGGUUAAUUGCAGCCAAAUAUGUUGCCAUGUUUACAGUAGCAAUCAGCACUGCAAUGAAAAUAGAAAGUGAUGGUUGGUUGAACAUCCUUUGAUUUCUGUAUUUGAGGUCCCUGGGGAUCUUUAGAUGAGUAUGCAAGUGGCUAUGCAGCUUGCUCUUUAUAAAGAAACCAAGGAAGAAAAAAGGUGGAGUAGGUGUUAGACUUCGAAGGUGGUGAAGUUGUUAGAGUUGCAUUAGAUAUGGAGGAGUGGAGUCUGAUGCAUGAUAGAUUUUGCCAAUGUUGUCAAAAUUUAACCAAACCCACUGCAUCAUUUCAAAAUCUCAGUUUUUUCCAAUUUCAUCUAGUAGCAAGCAAGCAGCACAGACAUUUUUAUGCAACCCAGUUUAGAUAUGAUAACUAGAAGUAAAUUUUUUUUUUUUUUGCAGGCCAAUUUUAAUUAGUUUCUGAAUUAUAGUUUAGUUAAAUUGAGUCCAAUAGGAAAACUACUGCCUGCUAGAUUAAUAUCUAAGUGUCUAAUUCUGUAGUGUGGCAGGUGCAACUGAAUCAAACAUCGUGAAAUGACUUGAUCCUUUGUUUUGAAUAAGAAGGAAAAAGAAUUGAAAUUGAAGCUUGAGAUACAUCCAUCUGAUGGUGGCAUAUUUCUUUUGAUGCAAAUUUUUCAAAGUAAAAAAUUUUAAUUUUUUUUAUUCUAAUUAAAAAUUUUAUAAGAAAAAAAUUAAAUUUGAAUUGAAAUUAGUAUUUUUUUAUAUCGAAUAAAAAGCUGGAACUUGCUAUUAGUAGAUGAUAUAUUCAUUUUUAUGAAAGUAUAUUUUAUUUUUUAAUAAAUAUUUUUAAUCACUUCUUUAAUUUUUUAUAAAUAAAAAUAGUAGUUUUAAAUAGAUUUAUGAACUUCCAAUUGAAAAGGGAAAAUCGCACUACUCAAAAAAUAGGUUUAUGAACCAAACGGCGACGUUGGCAAGGACUGGCACGUCGUUAAUCACAGACAUUAUCCAACCUGCAAAAUCAGCAGCAGUUUCUGGGCUGUGGCGGGAAGGAUCAGAAUCAAUUAACGAGCGUCGUUAAGAUAACUGACUGCCAGAUUAUUUAUUUCAGACCCCCUGUCGACGCGGCUUAUCCCCAACUCAAGCCCUAAGUUCCCCAAAAUGUCUUUCCUCGAGGAAUUCCAAGCCAGUAAGCUCUCUUUCUCUGUCUUUUUUUAAAAAAAAAAAAAAAAUUUCAGGAUGGUCUCUAAUCAGCUUCUUAAGCAAACCCUUUUCACAUUUUUUUCUUUUUCCCAUCGUUGUUUAAUUGGGAAAAAAAAAAAAGAAACAAUCUUUACUGUGAGGAAGAAAAUUAAGGCAACAGCAUUGGUUUCUUAUCAACUUUCAAAAUCUGAUGACGAUUUGAACUGAAACCUUUUUUAUCUGGUUUCUUAUUUUACCAGAAUUUGAAGGGUUCUUGUGUAAAUCUUGUAUUGGACUGAUAUCUUACGUUAUCUAGAUUCAUUUCCGUCGUCAUUUUGAUGGUAGAGUUUAUGAGUUUCACGAGUCCCUCGUCAAAGUUGAUUCUUUCUUUGGGCUUGAAAUACUUUUACACUCUGUUUGGAAGGUGUUAGAUUAAACUAAGGUUUUUUUAAGGUAUUGUUUUUUAAGUUAAGGUUUUUUAUGGUUUUUAAAUUUUAAUAAUUUUUUAUUGUUUGGGAAGAAAUAAAGUUAAAAUCUUCUCAACCUACCAAUUUGGAAUUGGUGGGUUGAAAUUUAAGAUCUUACUUUAAAACUAUCACUCCCUCCCAAACACAAGUUUAAGGUUUUUAAACUAUAAAAAACCUUCUAUUAUCUUAAAAAACCUCCUCCCAAACAGAGUGUUAUGCUUAGUGGAAACAAGUGGCUAUAGUGACAAAUACUUGUGUGCAUUGUCUCGUUUGCUUGCAUACUUGAGACUGGAUAACGGAAGUCUCUAGAUAAUGCAGGUUCUUGACUUCUUCAUUGACAUUAGUUUGUUUAGAAUUCAUUAUUUGAGAAAAUGUAGUAUUUGUUAAUAGUAAAUACAGAAGGGAUUUUCCAUUUUAGCUUAACCUUAUCUCUAUCUCCCUUCAAACAUUUGCAACUCCUUCAGGGAUUAAUACUUAUACUCAUGGCACUACAUGCUACAACCCAUUUGGAACACUAGAUAUGUUGUUUUUAUCAUAGAGCAGUACUGUUGUCUAUUUGUUGUCUAUUAAUGAAUGACCUUAAAAGUUAAAAUUGAUUGCUUGUACAGAUCUGGAAUCGCUGCCCAAUAUUCUGCAGAAGAAGUAUGCCUUGUUACGUGAUCUAGAUAAAAGUUUGCAGGGUAGGCCUUACACUGAAGAGAAAUAUUAAUGAUAAUAACUUUGUUAUAUUCUUCAUAUUUUGUUUUUCCUUCUUUUCUAUCAAUACUAUUCCUUAUUGUCUUCUAUUUGUCUAUUACCUAAUAUCCUCAUGAUCAUUGCAUUGUUUGAUGGAUAAAGUACCUGCAUAAUCACGUUGAAGUUGUUGAAACAUCAAUUAAUUGAUCACCAUUACUUGUUUGUCUACAUCUGCUUGUGUGAUAUUUACAUGCAGUUUUUCUGAUGUGGAUGAGGAUGACAUCUUGUUUAUGUUACUAAGUUGAGAGUAUUUAUGUGUUCAGGUCUUUCUGGAAGAUGUGGGUAUCUCUUUCAUGUGUUUUUACCUGGACAUGUCAUUUUGCAAUGAAUCUAUGAUGUAUAUGGGACAAGGAAGAGGUCACGUGUUUGUGUCUGUGUGUGUUUAGCCCUUUGCAAUAUAUUUUGCAUUUUUAUCCUCUUUGCAAUCCUGCAAUAUACUGUGGUGUUCAACUUGUAAUGCUUAGAAUUAUUUCCCCUUACAUUGCAAUUCUCGCCUUUCCCCCACUAUUGGCCAAUUGCAUAAACUGAAAAUUUUAUUAAGGUUUUUAGUUUCUGUACUUCUAUCCUUCUCUCAAGCAAAACCUUCUGCUUGUCUUCUAAAAAUAUGUGAGCAGAAAUCCAACGACAAAAUGAGCAACGUUGUGAACAAGAAAUUGAUGAUAUUAAGCAAGGAGUAAAGGCUGGAAAUAUUACACCUGAUACCUCACUUAUCAGAUUCUCGGAUGAGGCGCUUGAUGAGCAAAAGCAUAGCAUUAGAAUUGCAGAUGAAAAGGUUGCAUUGGCUGUCCAAGCAUACGAUUUGGUAUGUCUAAUAUCUUGUUAUAUUAUUCUUAGAUAAUUAAUACAAUUAGUAGUUGGGACAAGUGUGUGAUGUUACCCAAGUUUAUGUGACUAGCAUCAUGCUUAUAUUUCUUAAUGUUUUUCUUUUUAUUGUUGCUUGAUCUCCUAUUGCAGUUGCAAUUUCUGGGCAUUACUUGAUAGUGCAUUUUUUAUUGAAGAAAUGGAAAACCUAUAUAGGAAAUAAUGAAAAUGCUGAUGAGAUAUAGCUUCAAAAGAUCACAGUUUCAAUACAUUUUUAUUAACCACAUGACCAGGCUCUGGAAUUGUUAUCUUAUGACAAAACCUUUCUUAAACUCUUAAUUUUUCAGGUUGUAAUUGGGAGGUAUGCUGGUUUGUUUCAAUAAUCUUUCUACUUCUGACUAAUCAGACCAAUCUCUGAAUCUUUUUCUUAAAACACUGCAAUAAGAAAUACAAAAUCAUUUUGGUCACUACGAGGAGAAUGUUCUUCACUGUAAAAGUAGUAUUGAUGCCAUUUCUCAAUAUAAGCCUGGCAGUUAAUCCAACAAUUCAUUUCAGGAUUAUUGAUUAGUUGCACCUUUAAUUGCUCCAAGUCAAGUCAAGUCAUUUCUUUGCCAAACACCUCAGAGAAAGUUGCAACUUUAGUGGAAGGAAACUUCAGGAUUUUAACACUGGACCAACACCAUGUUCAUUACUGCCCUACUUUUAAUACCUUGUUAACCUUUCUAUUCUAAUGAUGCUUCAGGUUGAUACACACAUACAACAACUGGAUCAAUAUCUAAAAAAGUUUGAUGAGGAGCUUCGACGAGGUAAUUUUCUUGUUUACCUUUGUUACAACAUCCUUUUUAUAGUUUCUCAACAGAUUAUGUUAUAUUUCUCUCCUGAUCAAUUAAGAUAGAUCAAUUUUAUCUGUCAUCCUUAGACUUGCGGUCUUGUUAUCAAUUUGAAUGUUAAUAAAGUAUCUCUUAUUAAAUAGUCAGUUUCCUUGUCAUAAAAAUUCACAUGACAGGUCAACCAAAAUUUUAACUUUUUAAUUAAAAAUAAAUUCUUGCAACUUCUCUCUCUUCCCCUCUCUCACAGUCUCCUCUAUCCUCUUCUUCUUUAUCAUCUACUUUGCUAUCCUUUACAGUCUCGACUUCAGCUGCCUUUUGCCCUUUCCAUUGUGUUUGGCUUCCACUUUCACUUCAUCUUUUUGGGAUCAUCAGCAUGGACACCAAUGUUGAAGAGCAAGAGGUUGAAAUGGAAGAGGCUGGUGACGCUUGAUAUUCUAGCCAUGAAAAUGAGUUUUGGAGGCCCAAUCACGUCAGCAAUUGAAGAAGCAGAGAAUGUGAGAGGGUUAUCUAUUAAUCUGAAUUGUAAAAGAGGGAGGAAAGAGGCUGUGGAGGAUCACUUCUCUGCUGUAUACUUUGUCUUACUUUCUUAAUAUCUAUCAUUUUUGGAGGAAUAUGCUUUAAUUGGAUUUAUCUGGUGAAGGAUCAAACAAAUUGGGUUGUUGGUGGUGAGGUAGAAAUAGAGGUUAAUGUUGUGGAUUUGACUAUAAAUAACCAAAGUGGUCAAAAGGAUUCAAGAAAUCAAAAUGUACAAGGAAGAUGAAGAGGCUCUGGGAGAGUAUGGCGGUGGAGAGGAAGCGACAAGACCUAAUUUUUCAAGUGAGUACUCAGCAGAGAAGGACAAGGAGGCUGCUGCUAUCAGAUAAAAUCUUGGACCUUCCCCAUUCUUUAUAGUCCUCACACUCUACUCAACAUCUCAUCUCCCAAAUUUGGCGCAUGGUUGUUGAUUCUCAAUCUGUUGAUUUUAUUUAUUUUGAAAUUAGUAUGGUUUGUUAGAUUUGGGAAUAAAACUUUUUGGACUUCAUUAAUUUUUGUAAUGAUUCUUUUUAUUGAAUUUGAAGUGAGAUUGAUGUAUUUGUUGAUUUGGAAGGAGAAUAGGAAUAGUAAGAAAUCAUUUGGGUUCCUCCACAGUUAGAAAUCAUGGUUCUCAGUGAGUUAGAUUUGGGUUCUCCCAUUUCAGUUUGUUGAUUGCCCAUUGUGUUGUAUUUGAUUUAUGUUUCUUAGGAUUGAUUUUUGUUUGAGAUUACAUAUUAAUCUCUUUCUAGGAUCAAUCCCUUUUUGGUUUUGAGAUCAAUCUCUUAUAGGCUUUUUGCAAAUGAGUUGUAAGAGGAGAGAGAGAAAAGAGAGAGAUGAUGGUCAGGGAGGGAGAGGGAAAUGCCAACAUGGAGAUGGCAAACAGCAGUAUGGUUUUAAAUAACAUAAUGACCGUUUUUUACAAGUUUGGCACGGCCCAGUUACCUCAUUAUUUAUAGGAAUUCUUUGAGCUGUGUGGGUAACAAGUAACAUCCAGUACCACUGUUAAUGAUAACGACCAUUACCCCCACUAUGCAGCUACUACAAAUUACAUGCGAGCAGUGUUUUUUUUUUUUUUCUGUUACUUUUNNNNNNNNNNNNNNNNNNNNNNNNNNNNNNNNNNNNNNNNNNNNNNNNNNNNNNNNNNNNNNNUCUGCAUGUUCUAGCUUUCUGCAUCUAUUGUUUGUAUCACAUUCUCUCAAAAUUUCAUCUAAAUUUCUCCUUUUUAUUCAAAUUUCUCCCAUUAAGCUUGGUUCAUCAUAAAUAUCUCUUUUUCUACAGUUAGUUCUAGCAAAAGGUGAGCCUUAUUUUCUAAUUUUUGCUAUUACUUUUCAUAUUUUAUGUAUUUUAGCUGUGUAUCUUAUGCUUAUUAUAUAUAGUGUGUCUAUAUAAGGUCUUUAUUUGAUGUAUUUAUGCUUAUAUGAUUUUGUAUCUUAAUUUCACUUGUAGUUACCAUUAUCUACUCGUUUCAUGAACUUUGCAAUUUUUCAAAGGAAUUUAUUUGCCUAUUUCCAUUACGGUUGACCACGAGCACGAUUUAAGACCAUUGGUUGCAAGGAUUUUAGCAUAAUCCAAAUUGAUCUCAUGGAGUUGUGUUACAAAUUUGAAUUUAGGAAUGAUGCUGUUAAAGUGCCUUAAUUUUGGGGAAGAACAAUGGACGAAAUUUACCCCACUUAAGUAUCUUGACCUGUUUCGUGCAUUUGUCCUAACUGUAUGUAAUAAUGUUUUUGUGUGUGUUUUUUUUCCAAUAGAAAGAGAGAGUGCUGCUGCAACUGCAUUGCCUGGUUCAAGUGUUGAUGGUAGUGCUAAAACUGGAAGUGGUAGAGGAGGGCGCAAAAAGUAUCAUUCUCUUUUAUUUUUGCUUUAUUAAUGUUUUGUUGAUUAUUUGAUCUAGAAUAACUUGAUUAAGCUUUUAAAUUUAUAGUAUUUAACACUUAUGGAAGUUACAUGUUGAGUUCUGAUUUGGUUAAUGUUUCUUCUAUCAGCUUUCUUUGAAUUAUGGUUUAAAGUUCUUUUUUUUAAAUGGAAGUAAGUUUUUGUAAAUAAAAUCAUUCCAAAUGUGAGGGAUUUCUUAGUUCAUGACGAUGGUAAAAAGGGAAACUCAAAGAGAGCACAAAUGUUCCACAACUGAUUAAGAACAAAAAUAUGAGAGUUUAUGAGGCACUUUGCUGGGGGACUACCCAUCUAUAGUGGAGCAUGAAUAUGCAUGCAUUUGAGAAUUGAGAUAAUUUCUCAUACAAAAGUGGUUAUGCAGACCAUUGAUUUAAAUUACUGUUACGGCCAUGUUCGCAGUCGCGGUUACAGGCAAUGAAAACAGGCCUGUAAGUGCCAUAGUGUAACAGUAAUGACCUAUCGCUUUGCAAAUUUUAAAAAAAAAUUUGCGGAACUCAUAAUACAACAAGAUUUACGUGGUUCGGUUAUAAGAACCUAUAUCCACGGACAUAAAACCUCAAAGGGCUAUAUCUUUAUUUAAUAGAAUUCUAAUGGAGGAUCCAAGUCACCUAUGAUAUGAUGUUGUAAAUUAAGGGAUUCUCUAACUAUAAUAGAAAUAUAUUAAAUUCCCCUAUUUUAAGAAUAUAUAGAUAUAUAUUAUGUUAGAAUAGAAAUCCUAUAUUAAAUAAGAAUAACUUUCCAUAACACUCCCAUUAAUUGUAGCAUAAAAUCUCAUCAAUUCUAACACUCUCUUGAUGAGAUUGUACGCAGAAGCCAACAAUUUUCUCAUAACAGCUUACAACCAGUAACUUAUAAACAUAUUCAAAAACACUUGCACAAAAGCACCUGCACAAAGUACCAAAAUAUUAAUCGAUCCUUAGAAUUGCACUUCUCUCUCUAGAAGCAAUGUCGACGAGAAAAUAUCAACACAAAAUCCCUCUCCAAAGACAAUACUGGUGAGAAAAUAUCAAUGCAAAAUCUCUUUCCAAGGGCAAUAUCGGCGAGACAACAUCGACACAAACAACUCAUAGGAUUGAACAAACCACACUAAUCAAAUACAAACAUAGGUGUGAACGGUGCCAACAUCAACACAAACAACUUAUAGGAUUGAACAAAACACACCAAUCAAAGACACCUAUGUUACAAUACUAUAAGUUAAGAUAUUCUCCAACUAUAAUAGAAAUAUAUCAUAUCCCCCUAUUUUAGGAACAUAUAAAUAUAUAUUAUUCUUUUUAUUUCGGAGUAGAAAUCCUAUAUUAAAUAGGAAUUACUUUCUAUAAUGCUCCCCUUAAUUGUAGUAUAAAAUCUCAUUAAUUCUAACAAUACUCAAUCAAAUAAUAAGUAUUAAUAUAUUAAAUAAAGACAUCCAAUAUCCAACAUUAUUUUCUUUAACAAAUAAUACUCAAAUUUUCUAAGGUAUAAAUGUGUAGGAUUAGAAAGAUAAUUGAUAAUCUUAGCUUAAGAGAAAAGGAGAGAGACAUUUAUACGUAGAUAGAUAGUUAAUUUUUUAUGGAAAUUUGAGAAAAGUGAGAUACAAUAGCAUAAAACUAACCAAUUUACGGAGGAAAAAAAAGAGUUGUUGCCUCCAUAUAGCUUUAAAAAAUCAGGUUACAAACCAUACCGUUACAUAAUGGUAAAUAACAGCCAUUACCGUUGUACAACGACUGUAAUGGCUGGUACAAGAAUAAAAUUUUCUCUGCCUUUUAAAUAACGGGUGUAACGGUAAUUGAAGAGUCAAAAGCCUGUAAAUAACAUAAUGACAUUUAUUUAAAACCAUGAUGCAGACAUGCCAAGUAUGUGUAUGUGAGGGGAAUUCUUUAAAUUGCCUUCUGUUGGAUGAAGAGUCAAAAGCCUAUAAAUAACAUGACAUUUAUUUAAAACCAUGAUGCAGACAUGCCAAGUAUGUGUAUGUGAGGAGAAUUCUUGAAAUUGCCUUCUGUUGGAUGAAGUUUUACUGCAUUGAUUUAAGAUUCUGCAUGAAAUAACAGGCAUUUAUAAAUUUUGUUAAGUUGUACAAUUGGCUACUGGAAUUUAUGCAGAACGCGACUGGCUACAGCAACAGCAGCAACAGAAGCAGCAACAGCUGCAACUUCAGCACAUCCUACUGGUAUGGAAUUAGAUUGUCCAGUGGAUCCAAAUGAACCAACCUACUGUUUCUGCCAACAAGUUAGCUAUGGAGAGAUGGUAGCUUGUGAUAACCCUCAUGUAAGUAAUGAAAUUCCUUUUGGCCAUUCUCUUCCAAGCCUCUUAUGUUAAAAAUGUCUAAUCAUCUUCUAUUUAAGACUGCAAUUUGAUGAAAGCUUCUACUCUUUUAACAGUGCACUAUAGAAUGGUUCCACUUUGGCUGUGUUGGUCUGAAAGAACAACCAAAAGGGAAAUGGUAUUGUUCAGAUUGUGCUGCUGUGAAAAAUCGACGUAAAGGCAGAUAAAGUGGAGUUCUUUGUUCUGGGAAUCAGUGUUAUGGAUUUGUGUAGCUAUGAUGUUUUGGAUCUGUAUAGCUGUGAUGUUGAAUUUAGUUUUUCCUUUUCCUUUUCCCCCCGAAUUGGUAGAUGAUCGCUGCUUGCAUUGGAAAUGAAUUUAUUUUGCUGAACACACAAGCCCAUCUCUUUGUGUUGUGAAUGAUUCUAUCUCCUGCAUGCAUGAGCAAGUGCAAGGACACAGGCUCUUCCUUGUAGCAGGGAAUGGUUUCUUUUUUUUUUUUUUUGUCCCUUCUAUAGUGAAGUUCAACUUAGUAAGCUGCAAUGCAAUAGGGAUUUAGAGUUCGCCUCCAAGGAUGAAUGGCACGUAGUACUAGCAGGACUCCAGGUUAUAGGAGUAAAAUAUGAUCUGAGCAAGGGAUGCUGGAGUAGCAUAUAGAUUUGAACUAUGCAAGAGUCGCAUUUCGUUAAUGCAACUUCGAAUAAUUCACUCCCAGAGUAGAUAUUAACCUUAAACUAGUUGUUUUGUUCUGUCUGCGCAUCGCAUGAAUUAUUUUAUUAUUUUACUUUUCUUUCACACGACUGAUUACAGCUUAUUUGCAUGUUAAAACUAUAUUAAAUUUCACCUAAAGCAUGUGAACUUAUGUAAAGUACAUGAACAUGUAAAUAUUAGAAUUUUAAUUGACAUGAAUCAUGUCGUCACAUUACUAGAAAAUUGAUUGUUGCAGAUGAUGUAUACCCUUUCGAUAUAAAGAUAAGUUCAUGCAUUUAUUGUUACAAGUUAAAAUUCAUGUACGCUAAUUACAAACAUACAACUUCAUGUACUUGUAUAUAAAAUUUAGCCCAAUUUUAACUCGUAAACACGUGCACUUUUUAAGAAACCACAAUUAAUGUUCACAUACUUAUAUUAUAAAUUAAAGUUCAUAUACCUUAUUGAUAUUAAUUUUAAAAAUUAAUAUAUUUCACAGUAGAUUGAAUCAGAUACUCUCUUGUUUUGUGAUUGUCAUGUACGGUAUACACACAGGAAUGAAGAACGUCCACUGCAAAACACUUGCAUCUCUCAAAAACAGUAACAUUGUUUUAUUUCAAGGGGAUGACAAAAGUGCCGCUACAUUGUCCCUGCAAAGGACAACUCGAGAUGAGUUUUAUCUUGAAACUGUCCGAUCCCCGGACUUGCUACCUACAGACCUCAAUAUGAUUACACAGAUGCCUUUGGACCAUGACAAUGAUCUGUUUAAAAAUUUUUUUUUGAAAAAAAAAAUUAUUAUAAGACCCGUAUGGAUUUUGGUGACUGUUCACUCCUAACUAGGACCGAUGCUUCAUGAUGACCAUCAAUAAUCCAUGCCCAUGCCCGGUGCCAUUCCUGGAGCGUCCUUCUCAUCCUUUGGAAGUUCAGAUACAAUUGCCUCAGUUGUUGUCAUCAAUGAUGACACACUGCAUGCACAGAUAACAUAAAAUGCUAGUUGGUAAGCAAAAAUAAAAAUAUUUAACCACUAAACUACCAAAGUUUAUAUGAUCACCUUGCUGCAUCAAUUAAAGCAGUUCUAAUUACUUUCAAAGGAUCAACAAUCCCUGCUUUCACCAUAUCAACGUAUUCACCUGGUAAUGCAGCAAAUAUACCAAUCAAUUUAGUAUUUAAAUGGGUAUGCAAUCUACAUCUAUAAACAAGAAAAAAGAAACAGCAACAGACCUUUGGCAGCAUCAUAACCAAGGUUAUGGUCAUCCUGCUCUAAUAGCUUGCCAAUCACAACAGCUCCUUCCACUCCUGCAUUACUCGCGAUUGUAUGUACUGGAGUCUGCAAUUAAAGGAAAUGCAACAUUUAAAUAGCAUGCAUUUUCAGAAAGUUGUUCUGAAACUGGACACACAAACCUUUAGAGCAUUCUGAAUGAUUUGGACACCAAUCUUUUGGUCGAAGUUGUCAGUCUGUAACUCAGCCAACUCUUUUGUGGCAUAAAGAAGAGCAACACCACCACCUGCAAAGAAGAUAACAUUUAAAAAAAAAAAACAAACUUUUGAUCCUAAAUGGUACUCUCCUAACAUGGGCACAUAUAGAAAAAAAAAAAUUAAGAAAAGAAAAAAAGAAGAAUAUGUUACCUGCCACAAUACCCUCUUCUACAGCUGCCUUUGUAGCAUUUAAGGCAUCUGUAACCCUGUCUUUCUUCUCACCAACUUCAGCUUCACUAGCUCCUCCAAUCUGCAACAGCAAACUUUCACUAAUGUUAUCCAGCUCAGCAAAAGGCAGUAUUUACCACCUGAACCAGUCAGAAUUAAAAGGACUCUGCCAGCACAAAAUCUGUCUUCUUUUUUUUUUCUGGUGAGCUGGCAAAAUAGUACAAGCUGUUGACAGUAAGUAAGAAUAACCUUAAGAACAGCAACACCUCCAGAAAGCUUUGCCAGUCUCUCUUGCAAUUUCUCUUUGUCAUAGUUUGAAGUGCUCAACUCUAUCGCAGACCUUAUCUGUAACCACAAUAGUAUGCAUCAAUCAGGUCUUCAUAUUUGCAUGAAAAGAUGUCUUUAGAUAUCCAAAAGUGUCAAAAAAAACACCUGUUCGCAUCUUUCCUCAAUGGCUUUCUUGUCACCAGCGCCAUCAAGAAUAAUUGUAUCAUCCUUUGACACCGUAAUCUGAAAGGGAAACAAAAAUUAUUAUGCAUCCAGAUAAAUAGUUCAAUAUCAAUUUGCAACCAGAUCCUGUCCCAUCUCACAUAUUCAGAGCUUGCAGAACACCCUCAGGGUCAGGGGUAAGCCAUCACCACCGCAUGGCUAAGCUACCAAAAUCAUAAAAUAAACUUUCAGCUUACCUUUUUGCAACUUCCAAGCAUAUCUAAAUCCACCUUUUCAAGAUUGAGGCCAAGUUCUUCGGUUAUCACCUGCAGAACAGAAGCAUUGAUUUCAAUCAUAAAAACCAUAAUAAUUGCACACAGGUAUUCCAAUAUACGAGCAGAAGUAAACUCACCUCACCCCCUGUGAGAACAGCAAGAUCCUGUAACCCAGCCUUCCUGUUCUCUCCAAAACCAGGAGCUUUUAUGGCGCAAACCUAAGCAAAACAUAAAUUAAUUUACCAAAAAAGUACAUAAAAACACUAAUCAAGAAUUCAGUUAACUCAAAACAAAGGAAAUUCAUAUAAAGGAUUAGCCCCAAAAACAUAAUCAAACCUUUAUUCCAGCACGAAGCUUGUUUAAAAUAAGGGUUGCUAAUGCCUCACUUUCCACGUCUUCAGAAACAAUUAACAAAGGCCUUUGUCUCUGAGCAAAGACAAGAAACUCUUGUCAACACAUAACCAAAUGUGAAUAUACCAUUUAACAAAGGAUUUGAAAUAUUCUCCAAUCUGAAUGCUUGAUGAGAAAGCAACGGGUACCUUCAAAGCUAACUCUAAUACUUUCACCAUAGCAUGUAUGCUAGAGAUUUUCUUCUCAUGGAUCAAAAUGAGAGGAUCUUCUAAUUCCUGUAAGCAAAAGGGCAUGUACACAACUAAGUCUGAAAUCAGGAAAAUUAAAUAAAUGACUAGAAGGAACAGUUAUCGUAACCUUCCAGCCAUCUGGACACCACAAAAUUUUAAAGAUAUAUGCUAUGGCCAAUGAUUUUGAAUCAAAAGAAAUAGAGGCUUACACAUUUUUGGUUUUUCUGGUUGGUGAUGAAAUAAGGGGAUAUGUAGCCCCUGUCCAGCUUCAUUCCUUCAACAACUUCCAGCUCAUUAUCUAGUGUCUUCCCAUCCUGCAACAGUUAGAAAUAAAUUAAGACCCAACUGUACAUGAGAAACAAAGCAACGCAAUCCCCCCAACCAAGAAGAAGAUGUUCUGAUAAAACAUCAAAUCUAAAAUAAUUUACCAACACCAAUUUUGCCAACCCUAAGUAAAAGCAAAGAGGUGCUCUGAGGCCAAAUUCAAUGAAUCAAUGUGUGUCAACAUGAUUCAACUUACUUGGAUUGUAAUAACUCCCUCUUUGCCGACCUUCUCCAUGGCCUUUGCAAUUAACUCACCAAUUUCUCUCUCUCCAUUUGCAGAUAUUGUACCAACUUGUGCUAUUUCUUCAGAUGUGCUGAUCAUCCGUGCUCUGCUCUUCAAAUUGGUAACAACAGCAUCAACAGCCAUGCUGAUGCCUCGUCUCAGGUCCAUUGCAUUCAUUCCUGCUGCAACAGACUUGCAUCCCUCUGUGAAUAUUGCUCGAGUAAGAACAGUGGCACAAGUGGUCCCUGCAUCAACAUAGAAAGAAAGAUGUCCAUUACAAAAUAGUGCAAGCACAGAUUUCCUGAGUAUGAGAGCUACCAUAAGCCAACAAUCAAGGAAACAAUAGUUAGAUAAUGGUAGACAUUAAAAUGUUACCAUCUCCAGCAACAUCAUUGGUGGCAUUUGCAACCUGCUUUACAAGGCUAGCACCAAUAUUCUUGACUUUAUCCUUGAAUUCAAUGCUCUUUGCAACAGUCACCCCAUCUUUUGUCACUUUGGGGGCUCCAAAGCUUUGUUCGAUAACUACGUUCCGCCCCUACAAAUUACAAAAUAUAAAUCACAAUUGACAACCAUCAUUAACUUGUUAGCUAAAAACAGAAGUUUCCAGAAAGAAACAUGGAUUUAAAUUGCGGCCAUGUUCGUGGUCGACACAGGCAGUGGAAACAAGCCUAUAGUGGCCAUGAAGGUAACGGCCUAUACAAAUUUUUUAGAAAAAAAAAACUGCAAAAACACAUGAAAUAAAGAGAUAUUUCAAGAUAUGAGUAUAACUAAGAUACUCUGAUCAAACAAUAAGCAUUAAUACAUCAAGUAAAGAAAUCCAAUCCAUCAUUGUUAGACAUCUUUAGAAAUAAUUAAUUAUUAGCUAAAAUAACAAUGUAAAUAAUACAACUAGUAAAGAAUAAUUCUCCAUCCUCUAAAUUUGACAAAAAGAGCUUGGCAUCGAAUAUGAUAGUUCUGAAGUCCACAAGGUUCAAGAUAUAGUCGGUGUAAUGGAUUAAGAAUGACAAAAGGGUUGGGUGUGAAGAAACUGUCAGAGAACUUCUGAGAGUAAAUAACCAGGGUUGCAUACGCUUGAGGUUGUGAGAGUAAUGGAGAUAUAUCAUGAUUGAAGACAAAGCGGAAAUUGGCUUUUAAGAAGUUUUCUCUUUACAUAUAUUCUACUCCUUCAUCAUACGUAUGCUAUUUAUUUAAGGACUAAUAUGAAACUACAGGAUUAUACUGUUGACAUGUAUGAAAUUAUAACAACUAAAUAACGGAAUAAUUUGUUGUAAUGUAAUUUAAAAUGUGAGACUGCAUAUAUCACCUUAGGACCCAUGGUGACUUUUACAGCAUCAGCAAGCUCUUCAACACCCUUAAGCAUCAAGGCACGGGCUUCUACACCAAAUUUGAUGUCUUUAGCCGCAUAGUUUCUGCUCCAGUUUAGUCUACUUCCAAUCUAUAACAGCAGCAAGACCCAAAAUAUGAGAAAGCUAUAUUCAAACUUCAUCGAUAAGAGCAGUAAUCGCAGGGGCAGAUCAAAUAAGAUAAUGCACAAAUGUACAAGCCAGGAAGAAGUAAGAACACUAGAGCUCACCUGAUGCGUGCUGUUCCUAGCGAUCCUGCGAACCAAAAGAAACCCGUUAACAUCAGGCAUGAGCAACAACACAAAAACCAACAUAGAGCAUUGACCACUGAUGCAACAUUCAAAAACUCAAGUAGCAAGCUUUCAGUUCAGUUAUUUAUCCAGUUAGAAAUGAAAUUCCAAAGGGGAAAAAUAUAAAUCCGAUAUCGGAAAACGUAAAUUGGUUAUCUUUCGAGUUAUGCUGCAUCGUUUACUCGAGUACCAAGCGGAAAAUGGAGAAAACAAUCAAAACACAGUUAGCACGCAACGAUAAAAACAGAAGGGGAACAGAAAGUACCGAGCCUUAGAAGCGAGGCUAGAGGCGAAACGAUACAUAGUGUACAGACUGCAAAAACAAUGAAGAGUUCUGGAUUGGGAAAUGAGGAAGCGAGUGAAUUAACAAAAAGAUUACACGAGGCAGACUGUGAAGAGAGAAAGUAGGCGCUUUUAUAAUAAAAGAGGAAGGCUCCAGAAGCACAACGGGCAGAGCACAGCAGCCUCUGGUUCUAGGGUUUAGGGUUUUAUUUUAUUUUAUUUUAUUUUUUCCUAUACUUUCUCGUCGAAAUGUUUUCCUAUACUUGCAAUCCGUUUUGUGUGAAGCAAAAUAACGUUACGUUUUUAAUGAUUAAUUUUAAAUUUUAAUAAUUUUUAUUGUUUAAAAAAAAAUAAUAAAAAAGUGUUUAAAAGUAUUUCGAGGUUUUCAAAAAAAUUUAGAGUUUAAUGUUUUUUUUUUAUAAUAAUUAUGUACACCCUCUUUUAUAGAAGACAUAAUAAGGUAAAAUUUUCAAUAAUUGUUUUAAAAUUUUAAUAAUUUUAAUUGUUCCGAAUUGUUUAGAAACAUUUUAAGAUUUUCAAGAGUUUCAGAGUUUAGAGUUUUAUUUUAUUUUUCUCAAUUUUGCAUUAAGGUAAAGUUUUUUAUGAUUGUUUUAAAAUUUUAAUAUUUUUUUAUUAUUUAAAAAUAUGAAAAUAUAUUUAAAGAUUUUUAAGUAUUAUAGGAUUUAAAUUUUUAUUUUUAUUUUAUUUUUUUCGAUAUUUACUGUCUGUUUUCAAUCUGAAAAGUAUAAUUUUUAAUGGUUAUUUUUAAAUUUUAAAAUUUUUUUAUUACUUUGAAGUGUUUAAAUAUUUGGAGAUGUUUAAGAGCUCUAGGUUUAAGGUUUUAUUUCAUUUUAGUUGUUAUUUUAAAUUUUAAUAAUUUUUUAUUAUUUAAAAAAUAAAAAAAAUUUGGAAGUUUUCAAGAGUUCUAAAGCUUAGAGAUUUAUUUUAUAUUAUUUUCUCAAUGUUUAUAUUUUAUUUGGUAAGAGGUCAAGUAAGGUAAAAAUUUUAAUAGUUAUUUUUCAAUUUUAAUAAUUAUUAUUAUUAUUGUAAAGUGUUUGGAGAUAUUUGAAUAUUUUCAAGAGUUUUAGAGGUGUGAAUUUUAUUUUAUUUUAUUUUAUUUUAUUUUAUUUUAUUUUUUAAUAUUUAUAUGAGGUAAAAUAAAAUAAAGUUUUUAAUGAAUUUUUUCAAUUUUAAUAUUUUUUAUUAUUUGAAAAAAUGAAAAUAAAAUAUUUGGAGGUUUUCAAGUUUUAUAAAGUUUAGGGUUUUAUUUAUUUUAUUUUUCUCAAUACUUACACUUUAUUUGCUAUGAUACAAAAUAAGCUAAAGAUUUUAAUAGUUAUUUUUAAAUUUUUAUUGUUUCGACGUUUUUUUUAAGAAAAAAUUUGUAUAAAAUUAGCAUAGAAAAAAUGGAAAAUCUCUGUCUUGAAAACUAAUUUCAGCAUCUCUUAGUCAAUAGUAUAUAUUUUUGUUUAGUUAUGCAACAAUGUUAGGUUUGGAUCUCGUUCUAUGAGGAUUUUUUUUUAGAUGAUUAAUAAAAAAGCAUUUUAUUAUCUCAUUUAUCUGUCUAGUCUUUGUCUCAGUACUUUAAGAGAAAACUUAACAAUCCAUAAUGAUAAUUCUAAAUCAUAUUAAUAUAUUUAACGAUUUACGCUUUUUUUAAUCUAUCGUAUUGCCUCUUCUUAUGUACUGCUCCACCUUGAAUUUCGAAUUGAUUUGGAUGUAACUGCCAAUAGUGGUGGUAUACGAUAAAGGUCCUAUCGUAGAAUUUGUCUGUGUGUUUUGAAUUUCCAUUUAGUUGCAUUUCGUAUUUUAUUUUAUCAAUUUUCUAUGAGUGUACAUUAAUUUUUUUACUCUGAUUAGAUAUGUAUUUAUAGUAGAAAUAGUGAUAAUAUGAUUUUUUGAUGGUACAACCGGUUAAAUUAUGACUUUUUUUAAAGUUUGUGGAUUGUGAUAAUAAGUUUUGUUUCAGUUUUUAUUUUAUGAUUGUGAUUAAUUUAGCUCUUAUUUACAUUUAUUUUUCUUUUAGCUCCCUGUGCCCUCAAUGCAAUUAAUUUUACAUGAUAAUUUUUUUUUAAGAAUUAUAAAAUUUAGAAUUUUAUUUUAUUUUAUUUUUUCCUAAUACUUAUACUUUAUUUAAUAGGAGGCAAAUUAAGUAAUGUAAAGAUUUUAAUUAUUGUUUUACAAUUUUAAUAAUUUGUUAUUAUUGAAAAAAAUAAAAAUGUAAUUGGAAGUUUUCAACCGUGGUAAAGUUUAGAGUUCUAUUUAAUUUUAUUUAUUUAUGUUAUUUACAACUUGUUUUAUAUGAGCCAAAUUAAAGUAAAGUUGUCAAAUAGAUGUUUUAAAAUUUUAAUAUAUUUUAUUGUUUGAAAAAAUGAAAAAAUAUUUGAAGGAUUCUAAGAUUUACAAAAUUUAAGUUUUUUUUUUUUUUUAUCCAUACUUACAGUAUCUUUGAUAAAAAGCAAAAUCAAUUAUUGAGUUUAAUUAUUUAAAUUUGAACUUGUUUGAUGUAUUCAAUGUAUUUUGAGUUUCGCUCAACUCGAUCAAGUUUAAAAAUAUAAAAUAAAAAAUUUAAUAAAUAUAAUCGGUAAUUUAAUUAUUAAAUAUAUAUUAGCCAGCUAAGAAAAUUCUCCUAUUUUCUAUUAAAAAUGGAGCUAGAAUUUAAAAUAAAAGUAUAACAUAUUUUUAAUAAUAUAUUAGUAUAUGUAAACGGAAGUAUGUGUGUAUUUUAAACUAUUUUUACCAAUAAUUAGUUAUAAUCCUUGUUUAAAAUUAAUUUGAACGGAAUGGCUAAUUUUAACUUUAUUUGGAAUUUUUAGAAUUAAUUUUGAAUUAAAAGUAAAUUUUAUUAAAAUUAUUAAAAAUUUGCAAGAAAUUAUUUUAUUUAAGAUUAUUUAUAUUAAAAUUAUUUAAUUAGCUUUAGAGAGAGUUUUUUUUUUCUUUUCCUUUUAUUUUUAUUUUUAUUUUUUAUUUUUUAAUUUAUUUUUUAUUUUAAUUAAUAAUUUAUCUUUGAAAAGUUAAUUUAAUUUAAUAUUAACUAUUAGUAUUUAAUGAAUUUAUAAAUAUUAAGAAAUUUAUUAUAUUAUUUUGUUGAUUUAAAAAUCUUAAUUUUUUUUAUUUUUUUAAUGGUAAAAAAUUAUAUAAAAUUAUGAUUUUAAAUAUUAUAAAAAUAUUAAUAAAAAAUUUUCAAUCAAUGUGAAACUUAAAUUUAUUAUUAAUUUGUUUAUAUAAAAAAAUUUAAUUAAAUUCUAUUAUAUUUAAAUUAAUUUCAAACAAAUAAAUUUUUUUAUAAAUAAAAAUAAAUUGAAUUCUAUAAGAAAUACUCAUCAAAUAAGGGCUUAAUAUAUUUAUAAUAAAUUUAUUUGAUUCAAUAUGUACACUCAUGGCAGUAUUUAAAAUUAUUCAAAUCGUAUAAAAUUUUUUAAAAGUGUGAAUAAUUCUAUUUUUUAGAUAAGGUCUGCAAUAUAAUUGUAUAACCUAUUAAUUUAUAAAAGUUAAUAUUAUUAAUUUUUCUAAAGUUUUGAUAAUAUUAAUAAUUUUUUAUUAGGUUUUGUUACUCAAAACAAUACUAAUAAUUUCAUCUUAUACUUAUUAUUUCUAUAUGAUAAUAAUAGAUAUAAAACAAGUAAUUUAUUAACUUAUAUUAUAUAUGUAAUAAAUAGAUAUUAACUUUAAUUUAUUGGUAAUUGAAUUAUUUAUAAGAUUGAGAAAGGUUUGGAACUUAAGAUUUGUAUAUAUAAAAAAAAUCUAGUAAAAUUGUAUUAGUUUUUUUUAUUUUGUUAAUUUUUAGAACCAACAACUCACUUAAUUUAAGGAUUAUUAAUUAUAGAAAAAAAAAAGAAGCUAUAAUUUUUUCAAAGGAGAGAAAAAGGAAAAGAAAAGUUAUGAGAAAAAGGUGAAGGAAGAAAGAAAGCAGUCGGCUUGAAUAGUCUGUUUUGGAUUUUUUGUGUCUUUUCUUUUAAUUUUUUUUAUUUUUUCUUUGCGUUUCGACAUGAGACGUCUCCAUCCUCCCUUAUUUUCUUUCAUUGGGUCGGUCAGCAGCGUUUUUUUUUUUUUUUUGACAGAUUUUUGCUAUUCAACGUGAGGGUUUUUUGUUAGAUUUGGAGGGUAGCCAGCGACUCUGCUUUGUUGAUGGGAAGGAGUAUACUUGCUGAUGUUGCCAAAACCUCUAAAGAUUACAAUGACGUAUCCAGUGAUUUGCGCUCUCUCUAAUAGAGGAUGGAUGAAUUCUACAGCACCUUCUUUCUUCUGUAUUUUGAUUUUUUAAAUUAUUUUACUUUUUGUUAUUUAUGAGAAUUCAACUUUCUUUUAAUACAUACAAGUUAUCUUCUGUUUUUCUGAUUGCUCUCUAUUUUUUGAUAAUGCGUUCAAUGAUUUUAAUGGUGUAAUUACUUUGGUGUUGUGUUUUCGUUAAUAGCAGAUGGGUAUUGGCAGUUGACUCUACCACACUUAGUUAAAUGGUUUGUUUUAAUUGUGGGUUUGAUUUGGAUUAAUUUUGAAUCUUGUUAUGGGGCUGAGGUUUCAUUGAUUUUUAUGAUUUUUAAGUGGACAAUUGAUUUUCACUUGAUAAUCUGAGAUCCAGAGAAAUAGGGUUUUACAAAGGGUUCUGUAAAACUAGAAAAAGUUUAGACCUAGAGGAGAGUAUUUAUCCUUUUAUAUGUUUCCUUUUGUCUGCUAGUGAUGUGCUAACAGAACGUAUAUCGUUGGUCCACCUGUCCCUGCUACAUUGAUACGGACGUACGAGGGAAUCAGAUCUCUGCUCCAUGCGUAACGACCUUUGAUUCUCCCUGUGCGUGUAUAGAGGGGUCCACAAGGCAGAUGAAAGAGUCUUCCUUCUGGUUCUGGACUGGGCCGGGAGAUAGGAGCAAAGCUGGGCCCAAAGGAGAUUGGCCCGAGGUGCAGUGAAGGCGAGGCCGGCCUGGUUGAGAAAUUCGGAGGGGCCCGGUAUCAAGACUCGAAAGGGCCUGACCUGUUAGUGCAGAGGAUGUGUGGGCUUCUGAGCGAUGGGCUGCGAUCGAGGGCUUGGCCCCUGACUAGGGUGGAGAAAUCUAGUGGUCAUCAAUUGCCCCUUUACCUCCUCGGCAGUUAUUGCCCCAACUGUCGAGGGGGUAAACAUCGAGAAUCAUUAUGACCGCGCCUGUUUGAAUUCGGCUUGCUCCAUAACGCCCUUUCAUCUUUUUGUCACAUGUAGCUUUAAAUUUUCUUCGUCUUUUUUCUAUUUCUAGCUUUCCUCUGCUCUUUGUGCACACUGUUAUCCUCACUUUCCUGCCUUUAUCUUCCCGAUACGCUUUCUUUCCUCUUUUGUGAAUAGCCUUUAAGGAUUCUGAUGCCGCUAGCCUAGAGUAUAAGGUCACCCUGUCUUACAUUAAAAUCUCAGCCUCUGGCUAUAUAUUAAUAACACCUCCUUCUCAUCCUUGGGCUCAUUAUCGGGACAACGGGAUCUCUCUUUCCGAUCCUCCUUCCUCUGAUUCGGUCAAUCUCCCAAAAGAUGCAAGUUUAGUUUUCUUUGUCAUGCGAAAGGGGUACGGUUUACCCUUCCCUUAUUUCUUUCGAAUCUGCUUUGUCUCUCAUGAGGUCUGUUUUAACCUUGCUUUUGUGAUUUUUGCAGCCUUUGGGAUGAAGAUGAAGCGGAUUAAGCCCCCUAAGAUUCUUACGCUGCCCAUGGGGAGCUUGAACGUUGCUUCGGACGUCUUCUUAGUGGGGUGAUCGGUGGGGGAGGUUAUUCGACAAGUGGCCAGAAUCAUGUUUUCCAGGUCGUCCGGACGACCUCUUCCCCCUGCUCCUGCCCGGGCUCCUGUCUUUCUUUCUUCCGGGGAGGAGGAGGAGAUUCUCGUGGUGCCCCUGAUGUCUGCUCCUGACUCGAACUCAUGGAAUAACAUGGUUUCUGAGGCUUAUUAUGAGAUACGAAAUGCUGUCUACACACGUAAUAUUAACAAGGGUAACCUGCUAAAAUUAGUCCAACAUAGUAUGUGUGUAGAUUUGCAACAUUCACUUGUUCCAUUGCUCUUCAGAAUGCCUCGCCGGUUUUCCUCGGCUUGCUCGAGUGUAUCGUGCAUCACACUUGGGCGGCAGGAAGCCUGCCUAUGAUGGAACAGUGAGAAAUGCUUAUGGGGAUCAACUUGUUCAGUUCCCCUAUAAUAACAAGACAGAGCUCAGCCGACCUGUGAAGCUCAUCUUCCGAACUAUGAGAAUUCUUCUGAAUCGAAAGUUAAGAUGGUGGGGUAGGUGACAGUGAUGUAAACAUAGAUGAUGAUGUAUCCGGGCAUGUAAAUCCUUUAGGGAUAGCUUUUUAUCCUGUAAUGUAGGUAUUUGUAACAUGCUGUAAUGUAUUGUUCUUUUAAUGAAAUUUUUGUUUUUCGUUCAUACUCAAGCUGUUCUUUCCUUGUCAUGAGUGAGGUAUUUAGAUUGCGUGCUUCGUAAUUUUUCCUGAGGAAUUCGCUGUAUUAUUUUUUCCUUCUCGCCUUCUAGCCAAUCGGAACUAGAGUUCAUUUAGCCAACUGAGCUUUCGAUUUACUCUUUCCGAGCUAAACUAACCGUACCCGUGAGCUCUGUUUUUAACCAGUGAGCUGAGGCUUUCGAUUUACUCUUUCCGAGUUGAACUAACCGUACUCGUGAGCUCUGUUUUUAACCAGUGAGCUGAGGUCUUGACCCACAGGUUUGUAUGAUUCCACGACAUCCUCAUCACCUCAGACUCGUAGCCUUUGCUUAACGAUGAUAAGUCGGAUCAUGUACCUUUUUAGGUGAUGAGCAGGUCUGGUCUUUAUCAUGCUUCCCUCUGCUUGCGUCCUUGGAUCUUUCGACGACGUGCCCUUUUGCCUCCUCAGUAUUUAUCAUAUGAGUAUCGAUGAGGUAGAUCUUAUCUGUCGAGCCGUCCUAGGUGAGAGAUCCAGGUGGAGCCCGGUCUUAAGGUCUGGACGAGUUGGGUUUGUUUUAUGCAGAUAGCGUGGGGGCCUUUGAAUGAUGGGCUAUUGUCGUGGGCCUGACCCUUGAUAGGGGUGGGGGAGUCUAGCGGUCCCCAAUUGUUGCCCCUUUAUCUUCUCGGCAGUUAUUGCCCGACUGAUGAGAGGGUAAACUUCGAGAGUAAUAAUGACCGCGCCGCUCCAAGACAAAAUUGUCCAGAGUAACUCUUCGUUUCAUUAUUGCCUUUCAUUUCGAAUUCUCUCUGCUUUCUGAGGAAACUUGUUCUCUUCUGCUCUCUGUUUUCCUUCGAUUUCUUCUGCUUUUUCAACCUCGUUGCAUUUCAGGUACGCUCUCUUAUUCUUCCAUGAAGGGUUCUAAACUUUCCGAUGUUGCUAACCUCGAGUCGCACAUUACUCCUUCUUCCAUAACUAAGUAUAUUUCUCGGGGGUAUUUAGACACUCCGCUUUAUCUUAUUCGAGCUCCUCUCCAAAAUGAAAGGGUAGUUCUUCCAAACCCUUCCCCUCCUGGUUUGAUAGAUCCCCAAAGGGGUCGUUGCAUAGUCUUCUUCCUCAAGCAAAGGGACUUCGGUCUGACUUUCCCUUUUACCCCUUUCUUCAUCGAGGUUUUCCAAUACUUUGGGAUAACCCCCCGAAUGUUGUCCCCAAAUUCCAUUUUGUUCAUGUGUUGUUUUGAAUCUAUCUGCUUGAGUUGGGGUUUUACACCCACGGCGUGUCUAUUCGCCACUUUCUUCCGCCUCGUUAGAUCGGUUCAGAAUUUUUACUAUUUUUCUCCCCGUAGUGGAUUGUCUCUUUUCACAGGCUACAAGGAUUCAAUAAAGGGAUGGGUAGAGAAUUUCCUUGUGGCAGAGCUGAGAAAAGAGACCGAUUUAUCAUGGGGAGUGGGGCUAGGCUGGGAGGAUGUCCCCCUGGGUUGCAACGACCUGCCCCAACUAAACCUUACCGAGCAGGUGGGGUAUCUUCGACUGACUUCUGUUGACAAGAAGUAUGACGUCGAGAAGUGUAUGUCCGUGUCUAACCUUAGGGAUAUUCGAGACACGGGUAUAGUGCCUUGUUUAACAAUUCUGCUUUUUCCUUGUAAGUGAUAUUAGAAAGUACACUAAUUUUUUCUGGUUUUGUGUUUUUUGGCAGCUUCUGACGUUAAGAUGGACCAGGUCAAGCCCCAAAAAACUUAGUUCUGUCUCGGGAAAGCAUGAACGCUGCCCUAGAUGCCCUUCGGGCUGGGCGUCGCGUGUCUGAAGUCACUGAAGAGGUGGCUCAGACUGUGUCUUCUAGGAAGAUUAGCCGACCUCUUGCCAGAGCUUCCUCUCGAGCUCCUAAGCCGAGUUCUCAUGGUACCAGGUCCUCUCGGCCAUCUGGCCGUGGCAGGUCGGCCUCUGCUCUGAAACCUGUUCAGGAGUCUAAGUCUGAUCAGGGUUCUACGGAGGAUGCGCAGGAAACUUCUCUAGUUGUUGUGAAGCAGGCAGGGGACAUUGAACAGACGAAGUCGGAUCCUGCUUUUCCUUUUGAGGGGGCACCAAGGGGAAGACUCGAGUCCCCCAUUAUUGAAGAGGAGGCUCCUGGGACAGGACUGGAGGUCAUUCUUGUUGAGGACAGUGUCCCGGAGGCUCCUACCAGAGACGCCCCUGUCCCAGUGGGGAUUGAUUCUGGGACUGAGGGCGUCAUAGCAAAGGCCGGGGAUAAGCGCCCAUCCCCCCUUAAAGCAUUUGCCCCAGCUCCUGCUCGGAAAAAGCACAGGGCUUCUAAAGGACCAUCUCCAGCCCUCCCUCCUAUUGGGAAAGGAAAAGAUGUUCCCGUUGUGCCUCUGUUGUCUGCUCCGGACAACGAUAUUCUGAACACAGAGGACAUCACCCAUCAAUCUCCGGCCAGUGUAGUUGCCGAAAUCCUUAGAGAACGGAUGUUUGGUGGGAUUACGGAGGCCUCAGAUCAAUGCUUGCUUGCUCUUACUGGUCUUCUAGCCAGUUCUACGAGGGAGCAAGCGUCGUUCCGAUCUCGGUCUCGAGAGGAGCUCGGGGAUAUAAUCAGGGAGAUGCUUCUGAUGGUAAAUUGUCUUUAUGUUUCUCUUUUGAUUCUCUUGAUUUCUUUCUUUUGAUGGUUGUUCUUUUGUUCUAGGUGACGGGCCUCUUCAUGGAGGUAGAUGCUCGCGACCAUUCUCUCCGGGAGUCUGUGAAUCGCCGGAUUGAGGAGGCGCGUCUGGAAGAGAACUUAUCUGCUACCGGCGACGCUAGGGGCAAUCUCACAGCUGCUCGAGAGCACUCCGAGUCUCUCCAACGCGAGCUAUAUACAGCUUUGGAGGCUCUCAAAAGGGCUGAUGUGAGAACAGCCGAGGCGCAUGAACGUGCCAAAUCCCUGGAAGCAGAGUUGUCUCUCACCCGGGAGAUUUUAAAGGAGUUAGACGAGAGGGCAGCUGCUGCUGAGGUCCGCUGUGAGGAGGUUUUAAAGCAGCUGUUCUCCAUGGCGGGGGCCCUUCAUGAGAGGGAUGAGGCCAUAAGCCAGAAGGAUGAGGUCCAGUGCCAGUAUGAGGCCCUGAAGGUUGAGUUAGGAAGACUUCAAGUUCACCUGGAUAAGGUGAAUAUUCAAAAAGAGAUGGCCUUAGCUCGGGUGGAGGUCCUUGAGCAGGAGCUGAGCACAAAUUCUGAACGUAUCAGAGAUCUGGCUUCAUUGGCGGAGGAGUCCAAACUUCGUAAUCAAUAGCUUAGCCAUGAAGUCAGGACUCUAGAACGUAAAUGUUCGGCCCUGCUCGAGGUAGCCAGACAUGCUGAGGGCAAGAUCCAGCUGGAGUGUGAGAAGCGUCUGGAGGAGUAUCAGGAGUCGGAUGAGCUAAAAAGAAAGAUUGAGUAGGCCUGUGAAGCUCACCUCCAGGACUACAAGGAUUCCCCUUAGCUGAAGGCAGUUAUAGCUGAGGCCUGUGAGUCACAGCUUGCGGAGUAUAAAGCCUCUGCGGAGAUAAAAGUUGCUAUUUGGCAGAAAGCUUUCCGCAUGUUCAGGACUGGCUAUAAUCGGGGUUUAAGAGAAGCCAGACAUGCUCCUGAUACUCCUCUGGCAGAACUUCGAGUUGCCGAAGUGGAUUCUGAUGGCGAGAAUGUGUUAUAUGGGGAAGAUGAUUUCCCCUUGCCUAGAGGAACCUCUCGCACUGCAGCUGGGUCUCCUGAGGAAGAAUCCGAGCUGGACGGAGAAGAUAUGGAGGACCUCGGAACUGAAGGAGACGACCUCGAGCCUGAAGGGGGUGACCUCGGCCCAGGGUUGGAGAAUGCGCCUGUUGUGAGCGUUGGGAAAUUUGAAUUGGAGGGUGUCCGAUCUCCUUCAGAUGCGAAUGUAAAUAAAGAUAAUGUAGGCAAUGACAUUCUUAGAAAUGCAAGUCCCUUAAGGACUAUUUUUCCUUCAGCCUCAUCAGAUGAAUAAGUUAUAAUAUGCUCUAAUGAAAUUUCACUUGCAUUUACUUUGCUUGUUGUUUUAGCCUCAUCGGACCACUUAUUCUGUUAAACAGUCUGACUUGUUUAAGUUUUAAAGAUUUUGAUAAGAAACACUUAAGCUGUGCUUAAUAAACUUUGUAAAGAAUUGAUUACAUCGUUUUUCAUCUCUUGUCUCUCAGCUAAUCAAGGCUGAAAAUUUUAACCAGGGGUUUAGUCUCUGAUUUAUAAACUUUUCCUUUUUUCACAAGGCAUUCUUAUUCGUGAGCUCUUUCCGAGCUGGGCUAGCUGCACUCGUGAGUUCCGUUUUGUUACUUUAUUAAUGUAAGCUCGGGCGCACAGCCUUUGCUGAAUGAUAGUAAGUCAGAUCAUGUACUUGUCUCGAUGAUGAGCAGGGCUCGUCUUUCUGCCUUUAAUUCUAUCUUUACAGGGGCUGGAGCUGAGGUUUUAUUUGCUUCGUGUCAUUAGCUUUUCCUCGGAUUGCCCCUUUACUUCCUCAGUACUUAUUACAUAAUUAGUGAGGGAGUAAAUCCCUGUACCUUAUUUGUACUUGCAUGGCUUCAGUUAUCCUCCUAUACGUUCCUGCCUUGAUGGGCUUUUUCAUUGAGGGAGCUCGGUUCUCUGUUAUUUCCUCUAUACUUAGCUUCAUUCUACCUAAGUGUUGCAUGUUGCGAGUCUAUCCGAGCUGGGAGCUCGGUUCUUUGCUCUUUGCUUAGGUUUUUAUGCCUAUAGUCCGUGACGCUGCCUAUUUCGCGAGCUCAGGAGUUCGGAAUUUUGCCCCUUUUUUUUUUCCGCUUUAGUGUUCCGAGCUCGUUUGUGAGGUCGGACUUAACCUUUCUUUUUCCGAGCUGCCUAUCCUCGAGCGUUUUGUGGGUUCUUUGUUGUUUAGACCUCUCUCUGGGCUAGCUAGUUCAGCACCAGUGGUCAAUUCGCGAGGUUGGUGUCUUUUUAAGGUCGGCUUGGGGCUGUGGCGCUUUUGGCUAUUGUGCCCCGAGCUCCUUCGGGAGGUCGGAAUCUUGUUUUUCAUCGGUAGCUCGGGACUCGUCUUUCGCGUGAGAUCGGAGCCGUGUUUUUAUGAGUUGUCCCUGCAUAUGAUAUUGGAAUUUUUGCACUGGGAGGCCCUUAGGACCUUCACCGACCGUUUUUGUUUUGUUUCCCCGGGAGUUCUAGGGGAUCCCGGUCUUCUUUGUUUUCCUGGGAGUUCUAGGGGAUCCCGGUCUUCAUGCUCCGGGAGGUCUUUUAAGAUCCUCGCCGGCCGUUUGUUUUGUUUUUCCGGGAGUUCUAAGGGAUCCCGGUUUUCUUUGUUUUCCCGGGAGUUCUAGGGGAUUCCUGUCUUCAUGCUCNNNNNNNNNNNNNNNNNNNNNNNNNNNNNNNNNNNNNNNNNNNNNNNNNNNNNNNNNNNNNNNNNNNNNNNNNNNNNNNNNNNNNNNNNNNNNNNNNNNNNNNNNNNNNNNNNNNNNNNNNNNNNNNNNAGAUCCUCACCGGCCAUUUUUGUUUUGUUUUCCUGGGAGUUCUAAGGGAUCCCGGUCUUCUUUGUUUUCCCGGGAGUUCUAGGGGAUCCCGGUCUUCAUGCUCCGGGAGGUCUUUUAAGAUCCUCACCGGCCGUUUUUGUUUUGUUUUCCCGGGAGUUCUAAGGGAUCCCGGUCUUCUACCUCUGAGGUCUCUGUGUCUCAGGGUCUUCAUAUUCUGUUCUUUCUUUUUAAAAGAGAAGUGACAUUCAUAAUAGAGAUAACAUCAUCGUGUAAAGAAUGGUGUUGUUUUAUUCAUUUGUGCUUUUCAGAGUAUAAUAUUUUUCUUUACAAAUAUUUCAAGGGAAAUACCUCGUCAAGUGCUGGAUAUUCCAAGCAUGGGGCUCAGGGUUUCCUUGCAUAUCUUCAAUUCGGUAUACGCCUGGCCUGACCACUUUUGUUAUCCUGAAUGGGCCCUCCCAGGUCGGUGCCAACUUGCCCAUUGCUGCUCUUUUUCCCGUAGCCUUCAGGUUUCUCAGGGCCAAAUCUUCCACCUUCAAGCUUCUUUCCCUGACCCUUUGGUUGUAAUAACGGGCUGCCUUUUGUUGAUAGGCGGCAGUUCGAACUUGAGCUUCUUCCCUGAUUUCCUCCAGGGCAUCCAGGUUGCUUCUUAAUUUAUCUCCGUUGGAGCUGUCGUUGCUGAACUGGAUUCGAUGUGUGGGGACCUGUAACUCGAUUGGGACUACGGCCUCUGUGCCGUAAGCAAGUGCAAAGGGUGUUUCCUUAGUGGACGCUCUAGGGGUGGUUCGGAGUGCCCACAGGAUGCUGUUGAGCUCGUCUGCCCAAUUCGCCUUUGCCCCAUCCAGUCAUUUUUGCAGCCCCUGGAGGAUCGCUCGGUUGGUGACCUCUGUCCGGCCAUUGGUUUGAGGAUGGGCCACCGAAGAAAACUUAUGCCAUAUGCCUAUGUUUGCCGUAAAUGCUCUGAAGGUAUUGCAGUCGAACUGUCUGCCAUUGUCUGAGAUAAGCACUCUUGGUAUGCCAAAUCUGCAGAUGAGAUGACCCCACACAAAGUCUAUCAUCUGCCGGGCUGUGAUUGUGGGGACUGCCACCGCCUCUGGCCAUUUUGAGAAGUACUCCCCAGCCACUACUACGAACUUUUUCUGUCUCGUGGUUUUGGAAAAAGGUCCCAGGAUAUCUAUUCCCCAUUGUGAGAACGGCAAUGGACUGGAUAUGCUAAACUGAGGAGUAGCCGGGACAUUGAUGGCGUUAGCAAACCUCUGGCAUACAUCGCACCUUCGGACAAACUCUUCUGCUUCGCUUUUGAUAGUGGGCCAGUAGUACCCUUGCCUGAAUAUUUUAUUGGCUAAUGUCACUGCCCCUUCGUGAGCUCCGCACGUUCCCCUGUGUAUUUCUUCCAUCACUUUUGUAGCCUCUUCUGGAAUCACACACCGGAGUCAUGAGCUGGAUUUCCCUUUUCUGUAUAAGGUCCCUCUUACUGCUUGGUAAUUAGCAGCGCGAGCUGCUAUCUUUCUGGCUUCAUCUUUAUCCUCCUGUGCCUCCUACGAUCAUAUUGAUGGUCCCACUGGACCCAUCAUUUACAGGGUUAGCUCCCGUUCUUCUCGGUGUUUGGACUGCCGGAUUGGGCUGAGAUCUCUGUCCUUCCGGUUUCUUCACAAAGUUCUUCAGGUGUCCUCUCUUUAUCAACCUCUCGAUUUCUGCAAUCAACUGGAAACAAUUAUUGGUGUCGUGACCAUGAGUACGAUAGAACUGACAGUAUUUGUCAGGAUUUCGCUGGUCGGCUUUCGAUUUCAGGGGUUUGGGCCAUUGUAAGAAUUCCUUGUCUUGGACGGCUACGAGCACUUCGGCUCUAGAGACAUUAAGUGGGGUCGGCUUCUCCGGAACCCAUGAAGGGAGUAGCCUCUGCUCUGAGACCCGAGAGGGAAGAGGUCUUUGGUCCUUUCGCUCUCAGGGCUGUCUGUAAGGCUUAGGCUUUUUGCCAUGUUUCUUCUCAUGCUUCUCCGGCCUCCUUUCCUCCGGGGCUUUCUCCUUGCCUGCCACUCCCUUGGCGAAUCGGCUCGUCUCCAGAGCGUCAUCCUGUCUUAUAUACUUCUCAGCCCUCUUCAUCAGCUCGGCCAAUGAGGUCGGAGGCUUCCUGCUUAAUGAGCCGAAGAACUCGGCAGAGGUCGUCCCCUUUUGCAUGGCCUCCACCGCCCUUCCCUCAUCGAGCUCGGGAAUCUGCAGGGCCUCCGCAUUGAAACGAGCUACAUACUCUAUAAGCGAUUCCUCCCUUCUCUGCCUUACUGUUUCUAGAUAGCUCGUCUUCCUAUCCGCUGGCACCCCGGCGAUGAACCGGCUGAUGAAGCGAGUGGCCAGAUCUCCAAAACUUCCAAUGCUUCCGGUCUCCAGGCUGUUGAACCACGCUCGCGCUGGCCCCGAGAGCGUCGUUGGGAAUACCUUGCACAUCAAGGCAUCCGAUAAAGUUUGCAGUUCCAUGAAGGUCUUGUAGUUCAUGACGUGCUCCCUUGGGUUACCAGCUCCGUCAUAAGCCGCCAUUGAUGGCAUCAUAAACUUCUUAGGGACAGUCUCCUGCUGUACCCACUUCGAGAAAGGUGAAGAAGUGGGCAGAAAGGUUUGGCUUUGAUCCUUCUUUCCCAGCUCGGCCAAGAGCUGCUCUCUCAACUUCUGCAGCUUUUGGUCCACGUCCUCAUCUUCCGGCCUGGGCUUCUUCUCCAGGCGGUGUUCCUCCUCCUCUGCUUCACUUCUGGUCCACCUGGUUGUCCCGGCGGAAUAGUUGUCAGCCUCAUCAUUUUCUAUCAUCUCCUUUACCCUCCUUCCAUGGAUUCGGGCCUCUGGCUCUUCCUCUUCUCCGACUCUUCUCUCCCUUUCCCCGGUACUGCGGCUGCUGGUUUGAAGGCGGUCGGGGAUAGGUUGGGGCUCAUUGGUUUGGGGUUCUUCUACCACUGGGAGUGUAUUCAUCGGGGUGCUGAGGCCCCUUUGUUGCAUUAUCUGCCCCAACCAGUGGGCGGUAUUCUGUAGUUGGAGAGCCAUUGUUUGAAGGUCCUGGUUGGAUAAGGUAGCGGUGGGAGCAUUCCCUGCCAAGCUUGGCGAGGGAUUGAGAGGAAUGGAUGUUUGGUUGUUUAGUAUUGUAGGGCUAGAAAAGGAGAACUGCUGCCCCUCUUGGGUAGAGCUCAGGUCAUUUGGGAUGUUGAGGUUGCUUUCAUUGUGAUUGGCCAUCGUGGAUCUCAGUGGGUUUUGUUAAGAGCGGAACUCCGGUGAUGAAAAGAUCUCAUUCGUUUCCCACAGACGGCGCCAAUUGAUAAUCUGAGAUCCAGAAAAAUAGAGUUUUACAAAGGGUUCUGUAAAACUAGAAAAAGUUUAGACCUAGAGGAGAGUAUUUCUCCUUUUAUAUGUUUCCUUUUGUCUGCUAAUGACGUGCUAACAGAACGUAUAUCGUUGGUCCACCUGUCCCUGCUACAUUGAUACGGACGUACGAGGGAAUCAGAUCUCUACUCCAUGCGUAACGACCUUUGAUUCUCCCUGUGCGUGUAUAGAGGGGUCCACAAGGCAGAUGAAUGAGUCUUCCUUCUGGUUCUGGACUGGGCCGGGAGAUAGGAGCAAAGUUGGGCCCAAAGGAGAUCGGCCCGAGGUGCAGUGAAGGCGAGGCCGGCCUGGUUGAGAAAUUCGGAGGAGCCCGGUAUCAAGACUCGAAAGGGCCUGACCUAUUAGUGCAGAGGAUGUGUGGGCUUCUGAGCGAUGGACCGCGAUCGAGGACUUGGCCCCUGACUGGGGUGGAGAAAUCUAGCGGUCAUCAUCACUUUUUGUAUUUUUCCUCUUAACCUUAUUAAAAUGCAAUAUCUCUUGCAUUGUUAAAAAAAAUUUAUUAAUUGUGAUUUAAAAAUAAACUAAUUAAGUUCACUAAACAGUAACAUAUUUAUAUUAUGCAAGUCAAUAUAUUAAAAUUAAUUUAAAAAUCAUUUUUAUCAAUUUAAUAUUAGCAUAGUAAUUUAUAAAAAUUAUUACUAAUUUAAUACAAAUUUAAUAUUUAGAACAUAAUAUGUAACGUAAUAUUAAUUUAAUAUACUAAUAUUAAAAUAAGAAAUUGAAUAUAUCAAUAUUAACAUUUAAAUGAUUACUAAUUAUAUAACAUAAAUUUAAUGUUUAAUAAUAUACAUGAUAAUUAAUGUAUCAAUUCAAUUAAUGAUAUACAUGUUAAUAUUUAAUAAUAUUAUUUAGUUUUAUAUAUUUUAAUUAAUAAUUUAUAUAAAAUAUGUUUUUAUUAAUAAUUUUAACUUUUUAAAAAAAUUCUAAAAAAUAUUUGAUAUUUAAUUUUUAAAUAAAAACAAAUAUAAAUAUUUAUAAAUAUUAUUCUAAAAAAUACAUUUUAUAAUAAAUUAAUUUACAUGAACGAGUUCGGUUAUAAAUACCUAUAUAAUAUUCAAUCUUUACCCAAAUCUAUUAUAAAUAUUAAUUUUUAAACUCAAAUUUAUCAUAAACGCAAUUUGCCUAAAUUUGUCUUAUCAGGGUUGGGUUGGAUUCAGGUAGAAUUCGGGUCGGAUACACGAAAAUAACCACCCGAUGCCAUUUCUAGUCAUGAUACGCUACACUCAACACCACCGGAUUUGAGUGAUUUCCAUCUGCUUUCCACUUUCACUUCACCUUGUUCCCGGAGACGCAUCAAUUCGAAAUUGAUCCACAGGCACAGCAAUACACACAAAGAUGACGGAGGCUGUGAUUAGGAAGAAGCCAGGAAUGGCGAGCGUGAAGGACAUGCCGAUUCUUCAAGACGGUCCUCCUCCUGGUGGCUUCCCGCCAGUCCGGUACGCCCGUCGGAUCCCCAAUAAAGGACCCAGCGCCAUGGCCAUCUUCCUUGCUGCUUUCGGCGUUUUUUCCUACGGGAUGUAUCAAGUGGGCCAGGGCAAUAAGAUCCGCAGGUAGGAGCUUGGCAUUUUACUAACAGUACAAUGUCGUUGAUUUUUUGGUGUUUGCUUUUAAAUAGCUUUUACUUUUUAGCUUGUCUGUUCAGUUUGAUUAUGAAAUCAGAAAUUUUGCUUGUUAUUACUGUUAUUAGCAUCAUCAGAUUGAAGAUUAUGUUUGUCAUUUUGAAAUAAUGAAUAUCAACGUGAAUAUCUCCAUUUGGUUUUUAACCCAAAUUAUUUUGAAUAUUUUUGCCGUCUGCGUCUGGGUUUUUUUGGGUUUUGAAGAGAAAAUUUUGAAGAGAAAAUUUCUCCAUUGAUGAAAGAAAGAAUUACAGAGGAAAAACUCAGCUUCUCAUCUUCUAUACUGCUAUUUAUAUACAAAUUCUAAAAAUAACUGCUAAACAAAUAACUGAAUUUUGAUCUAAUCUUUUCACACUACAACUCAGCAUAUUAACAACUUUGGCGCCAAGAAUAAGUUAUGAAUUUGAAUUCUGUUGCUGAGCUGUAACAGAAAGCAAGUUGAUGUUGAUGAUCACGGUGACAAAUUUGUGAUCUCGUAAUUAACGGCCGUGACGCUCUGUUGAACAAGGAUGAAUCAAAACUUGCUGUUAGGCAUGCUGUUACUCUGUUAUGCAUGCUGUUACUUCUAACUGCCUUGCUGAAUCAGUUGCAUAUUCCAACGGCCCCCUCUCAAGCUGGUGGUGGUGUGAAAGCAACUAACCCCAGUUUGGAUAUCAAAAACCUGAAUGUGUGAGAGGGUAAGGACUUGGUAAAGAGAUCUGCCAAUUGAAGUUUAGAUGGAACAUGAGAAGUAUAUUCCUUACAAUAUGGCAGUCUAUAUCCAGAUGUUUGGUCCUCUCGUGAAACACUGGAUUAGCUGCUAUAUGUAAUGCAGCUUGAUUAUCACACAGUAAUGGGAUGGGAAUAUCCGGCCUAGUCAAACUCAAAUACAAUAAUCUACCAACGAUUCUUCUGUAUUGAUCAGGCUGCUCUAAUAUGCUCCCCAUGGAAGGUUGUAACUUCAAUCCUUGAAUUAAAGGAGUACAAACUGGUUUUGCAUCGGAGAGUCCAGCUUCUUCAAUCAUAUCUGUAAUGAACUUAUGUUGAGAGAUAUAUAAACCAGCAGAGGAUCUUGCUAACUCAAUUCCCAGGAAGUAUCUCGCAUUCCCAAGGUCUUUUAUAGUAAAAGCCUGAUCUAGUAAAUGUUUGACCUCAGUAAUUAAUGCUUGAUCUGGUCCUGUAACAAGGACAUCAUCUACAUAUACAAGCAAAGCCACAAAAUUGUCACCUGAGCCCUUGGUAAAAAGACAUGUAUCAUGAAUUGAUUGAUGAAAUCCAAAAUCAGUCAAAGUUUGUGUCAGCAUUUUAUUCCACUGUUUGCCUGCUUGCUUCAGGCCAUACAGGGAUUUUUAUAACUUGCAAUACUGUCCUGGAGAAGCCUUAGUAUAUCCCUUAGGAGGUAUCAUGUAUAUAUCUUCCUCAAGAUCACCAUGUAAAUAAGCGUUAUUUACAUCUAACUGAUGUAAAUGCCAAUUCAAAGAGAUUGAAACAGCUAACAAUAAUCUGACAGUAACAAGCUUGGCUACAGGAGAAUAUGUAUCUGUAUAAUCUAAGCCAAGCAUCUGAGUGAAGCCUUUAGCCACUAACCUGGCUUUGUAUUUGUCUACUGUUCCAUCAGGUAAGUAUUUAAUCCUGAAGAUCCAUUUGCAAUCUAUUGGCUUCUUGUUAAUUGGCAAUGAAGUUAAAGUCCAUGUAUUGUUUUUCUCCAAUGCUUCCAAUUCAAUUUGCAUGCCAUUGAUCCAUUUCAUAUCUUUAAUAGCUUCCUUGUAAGUACAAGGUUCAUGAACUUUGGAUAUCUGUGCCUGAUAAGCUGAAUAAGGUUUGGACAAAACAAUAAGGGCUUUGGGAAAGAAGUCAGUGUUAGCAGUAUAAGCCGUAGUAUAAGCUGUAUUGCAAUUGGACUUCGACUUGGACAGAACAAAAUCAUCAUGCCAUUUGGGUGGUUUGGAUUGUCUGGUGCUUCUUCUUAGAGUAGAGGAAGUAUUAGCGGGAGGCACAGUAACUAAUUGAGAAUCAAAAGUUUCAGGAACAGUCAAAACAUUGUCAUUAACAGGUUGUACAAGAGAAUGAAUAGGAGUGUUAUUAUAAUCAGAUAUGGACAUAUGUGAGUCAUGGACACUAGAUGUGUCAGAUAAAGAGCAAGGAUCAUGAGAUGUAAUGUCAGUGGUGGAAUGAUCAUGUGUGACGGGGAAAACAAGGUAGGUUGUCAUUAACAAGACAAACAGGUAAACUAAAAUCUGAGACAGUGGUAGGCUUUGUUAAAUGAUAUGGGAACAUAGUUUCAUUGAACUUGACAUCUCUGGAAAUAAAGAUCUUUUUAGUUUUCAAAUCAUAUAUCUUGUAACCUUUUUGUUGGGGUCCGUAUCCUAAUAAGACACUUGGGAUUGCUCUCUCACUAAACUUGUUCUUGUGAGGAUAUACAUUUGUGGCAAAACACAAACAGCCAAUAACUCUGAAGUAAUCUAUGUUCGGUAUAUGACCAUACAAGAUUUCAAAGGGGCUUUUCCAGUUAAGGUUUUCAGUAAGUAGUCUAUUUAUUAUAUGUGUAGCAGUAAGUAAGGUUUCUGACCAGAAUCUAUCAGGGAGUUUGGCUUGAAAAAAAAUGGCUCUCGCCACUUGCAAAAGAUGUUUGUGUUUUCUCUCAACUAUGCCAUUCUGUUGAGGUGAAUAGACACAGGUCCUUUGGUGCUUAAUGCCAUUUUCUUGAAAAAGCUUAAGGCAAUCAACAUUGAGAAAUUCAGAACCAUUAUCAGUUCUGAUAGCUUUGACCCUUUUUGAAAAUUGAGUAGCUAUAUAUGUCAAGUAAUGUUUAAUGAUUUUUGAUACUUGUGAUUUAAAAGUGAUCAUGUAAAUCCAUGUAAAUCUGGACUUAUCAUCAACAAUGGUUAACAUGAAAUGAGCACCAGUAAUGGAUUUUGUCUUAUAAGGUCCCCAUAAAUCCAAGUGUAUUAAAUCAAAAGGAUAUUCAACACUUGAGUCACUUAAAAGGGAAAGAUAGCCUCUCUUGUUUCGCCAAAGGACAAACAGUACAACUAUUUAUUUCAUCCGCAACAGUAGGUAGAGUAGAUAUAUGCUUCAUUUUGGCUAAAGAAUUGUGACCUAAUCUACUGUGCCAUAACAAAGACAGAUGGUUCUUGUGAGAAAUACAAGUAUGUAAAGCUUUACUAGCUGAAGGAACAUGGAAGGAAUGUUUAUUUAGAUGAUAAAGUCUAUCAAUCACUAGUCCAAUAGCAAUACAUUCUUUACUCUACAAAUCCUGCACAACACAAUGAUCAGGAAAAUUGUUAACAUUCACAUUACAUGUUUCUGUUAAGGCAGUAACUGAAAUAAGGUUGCAAGUGAAGUCAGGUAUAUAUAGUGUAUUAUGCAAGGUUAUUCUAGGGUUCAAAACUACAUUUCCAAUAUGUGUAACAUGUUUAACAGAUCCAUCAGGUAGAUUAACAGGUUGUGGUAUAGGUAGUUUAUAGGCUGAGGUAAAAUUGGAAAAAUGGCAGGUCAUGUGGUCAGAGGCACCAGAAUCCACAAUCCAAUUACCCUGUGGGUAACAAGUGACACUAUUUGAAGAAUGAAACAAAGCAAUACCUGCAAAUGUUGAACUGAAAUGUGCAGCAGAAGAUUCAACAGCAUUAUCCUGUGGCAUUUUACCUUUAAUAGCUCUCUGCACUUCAAAUUGAAUUAGUUUGGAGAUAUUGUCAUUAAAUGCAGCAUUGGGUUCAGAAACAGGAUUAAUUUGCUCAAUUUUGACAUUGUUAUCAAAGGUCAAAGGUGUUUCAGAUGUCUGCUGCACAGAAUAAGCUUUGGCGACUUGCUUAUUCUUCUUAAAAUCACUAAACCAUUCUGGAUAGCCAUGAAGUUUGAAGCACUUCUCUCUAAGGUGUCCAGACGUCUGACAAUAAUCACAAAAUCUGUCAGAUUUUGGUUUGUUAUUAUACCUGGAGUUAUCAGUACUUGUAAAUCUUCUAGAUCCAGAAGAUCUUUGAACAGCCAGAGCCAUUGUUGUUUCAGUAGACUCGGGAAAUGCUAUCUGAAUUUCAUUUUGUCUUUCAAUGUUUAAAACCAUAGCAUAUGCCUUAGCAGAAGAGGGUAAUGGCUCCAUGAUCAAGAUUUGAUUUUUGACAUGAUCAUAGUGAUGAUUUAAUCCCAUAAGGAAUUGAAUCAAUUUCUCUAUUUCUUCAAACACAGACAGAGCCUUUGCUGCUCCACAGCUGCAACUAGGUAAAGAGCAUAAAACUAAAACUGAUAUCUCAUCCCAACAUUUCUUCAGUUUUGUAUAGUAUGUAGCUAAAGUAGAAGUACUUUGACUAAUAUUCACCAAUUCCUUUUUGAUUUGAAAGAAUAAAGGUCCAUGACCUUCACCAAAUCUAUGAGCAAUAUCAUUCCACAGCUCUUGAGAACUGCUGGUAUACAAAAAUCCUUCAGCAAUUUCUCUGGAUAUUGCAUUCAGUAUCCAAGAUAUGACCAUAGAAUCAACAGUCAACCACUUUUCCACAGGAGGUUUAGCAAUCUUACCUGUUACAAAGCCAAUUUUCUCCUGUGCUCUAAGAGCCAGUAACAUAGAUCUGGUCCAUGAGAGGUAGUUAGGGCCAGUGAGCAAAAAGUUCACCAAUUUCAGAUUAGGAUUAUCUGAAUUUGACAGGGACAAUGCAACAUCCGUUUCAGCUUGAGAAGCCAUUGAAGUUAGUAAUGAACAAAAAACAAUAAGAAGAUCAAGAAUGACAACAGUGAAGAAGAAAGGAAGUAGAUCAGAUUGAAAACAACACAGAAAUGCUCAGAUCCGCUCUGAUACCAUGAAGAGAAAAUUUCUCCAUUGAUGAAAGAAAGAAUUACAGAGGAAAAACUCAGUUUCUCAUCUUCUAUACUGCUAUUUAUAUACAAAUUCUAAAAAUAACUGCUAAACAAAUAACUGAAUUUUGAUCUAAUCUUUUCACACUACAACUCAGCAUAUUAACAACUUUGGCGCCAAGAAUAAGUUAUGAAUUUGAAUUCUGUUGCUGAGCUGUAACAGAAAGCAAGUUGAUGUUGAUGAUCACGGUGACAAAUUUGUGAUCUCGUAAUUAACGGCCGUGACGCUCUGUUGAACAAGGAUGAAUCAAAACUUGCUGUUACUCUGUUAUGCAUGCUGUUACUUCUAACUGCCUUGCUGAAUCAGUUGCAUAUUCCAACAGGUUUCUUUUACUCAACGCUACAAGUGCGACUUAUUUUAUUUUGUGCAUAUUUUUAAUCUUAUGAGACAUUAAAUUUGUUGCUCAUUCUGUCUCAUAAAAUAGGUUUGUUUCCAUUUUUUUAUCGUCCCAAAUUAUAGGCAACUUUCAUUUUUUUAUGAUAAUCUAGUGACUUAAUGUAUUAGCUUCCCAGUGCACCUAUAUUUAAUACGCAUUGAAAAGAAAAAAGGGUAAAAUUUAUUAGUUUCAAGGGUAAAUUAGGGAUGUAGCAAUAUAAGUGAAGGAUAUAUUAGAAAAGAUGAACAUAAAAUUUAUUGCUUUUAAGUUUUUAACUAUUUAACUAUAUUUUUCUUAAUCCAUGGUCUAUCUUUUUGGAUGGAAGGAUUUUUUUUUUUUUAAUUGGUGGUUUUAUCUUAUCAAUUGGGUAGAGUUUUUUACUUUUCAAAAUUUUAUUUCUUGCGAUUGGUUGUUACAUGAUAAGGGUAGAGUUAUAGUUGAUAUUUGAAGUGAUAAGUAUUAUCAAAUUGUUAAGUUCUACGAGAUUUAGUUGAUCUUCAAUUAUAUGAAUGGUUUGUGGUUCCUGAAUUUCAUUUAUCUUUGAAAUGGGCACUGGAAAUGUGGAGCAUCUAUCUGAAAAGAACAAGCACACAAACGACUAAUUAUGAGUUUCUGUAGGUUGAUUACUUAGUUUGUAUGGUUUUCCAUGAAGAACUGAUUGUGGUGUUCGUUCUGCUUAUGUGUACGAAGUUAUCCAAAUACAGCUUCUUUUUGGUGUAGCGGAAGGUGCAAUUUUGUGUAGUUAGUGGAGCUAGUUCACACUCAGAAUAACUGUUAUCUUUGAUCAAGUGAAGACUAAAACAAGCUGAUUUUUGUGAAUGACAGUGACAUGAAAGACUUUAAUUUUGAUGAUAUUUUUUCAUGGAUAACCUGGUGACUUCUAUUUGAGAAAAUUGUUUUGUUUCUCGGCUUUAAAAUGUUGGGGGAAAUUUUAAGAUUUUUAAUUAUUUAUGUGCCAGAGUUGGGGUGAUUGUGAUUUUUUAAGCUCAAAAGAUAAAGUUUAAGUAAAGAGAAUGGAGUUCGUAAAUAAUUUUGGCUUUGUCAGGGUUUUUAUCCUUUGUUGGCUUGGAGGCAGGCAACCUAGUACUUUGCAUGUGAGCAAUAAGUAGAACAUUAUAGAAACUAUAUUGAAAAAAAUGGAAGGUGUUUGCAUUUGAGAUAUUUAUUGUUGUAUAUCCUUUUAGUACUUUCUAUUUGGGAACCUAUGCAAGAAAGUCUUUAUUGAAGAGUAUUCACUUGGUAUAGUUACCAUCAUUUUUCAUGUUUUGACUCUUCAUCUUCAGAAUGGGGCAACGUAGUUACAUUACUUUUAGAGCAUGUGUUGUUUGGUGGAGCGAUAUAGAAGUUUAAAUUAGAUUUGCAGAGAAAAAGAUUUUUUGGAUUUAUUGAUUUUGAGAGUUUAUAGAUUGGUUGUGUGUGUUUUAAAGGUGAAUCAGGUUAAAAUUUUGAUCUUAACAAAAGCUACAUAUUUUGGGUAGUUUGAUUGCUUGGAUAAUACUUGGAAGUUUUUGCUUGUAGUUGUGCUAAUUUUAUUAUGUUUUUGAGCUUUUAAUUAAGUUACCUCUAACUGUCCUUUCUGAAGUAACAUUUGAUUCUUCAAUUUGAAUGCUCCUUUUCAUGUCUUAGUUUAUAGUUCUAUUUUAAAUUUAUGUAGGUUUGCCAAGAAACAUUCUGACUUGGUGGUCAAGGAAGGAUGAGGAUGUUAAUGCAUAUUUAUAUAAAAAAAUAGCAACUUAGGAGUGGAGAAUAUAGAGAAGACGAUGGAUGGAUGGAUGGCUGUGUAAAUUUAGGAGUGACUUGAUAGCUGAUAAUUUGAUGUACUCUGUGUUGCCAUAUUGUACAUGGAUGUUUCAGUGGCCAACAAGGGCUAAAGGAAAUUUUUGUUGAAUCUUUGUUAACAUGAUUGUUUCAGUCUAGUGAGUAUGGAUGCUGUAGCAUUGUUGGUGUAGCGUUCAAGAUCACUUAAGCUGGUCUUCUGCAGAAUAACUUCCGUAGCCAGGGCUAAUUGUGAUGGGGAAGCAAAUGCUGUUAAAGAAUUGGUGUUUGUAAUUUGCAGCUAAGAGUCAAAUAAAAAGAACAUCUGCCCCUGAAUGAUGUAAUUCUGAUGUAUUUGAGAUUUAAUCAAUAAUUGAUGCUUGUAUUUUAUUGGUCAAUGAUGGUUUUUGGUGAUCUAGAUCUUAUUCUUCAUGUGUUUGUGCUGAAAUAUUUUCUUGCCUUGUUAAUUCCAAAAUUUGAAUGUAACCAUGGGGCUCAGGGCGUUGUAUACUUACCGUCUAUGUGUUCCCUUUGAUCAAUUAAGGGAGGGAAUAUACGAUGCCUGCAAUAGAGGCUUGAUUAUUUGUACUUUGUAGGUGUGGUUCAAUUUCUAAUGAGGAAACUAUUGCAGUCUUUUGCUUGAGCCUUAUCCAGCUUAGAAAGAGUCAUGAUUAAAUUUGUAGCUUUAGAGAAGAGUUGUUCUCAGAUCAUGGCUGAGUGGUCUUCAUUUCAGCUAUAUCAUAUUUAAUGGUUCAUCUGCUGAUAUGUUGUAUCAUGUGUGGUUAAAGAGCCAGUUAAUGAGAGUACAGGCAUAAUGCCCAAGCUCUAUGGCUUGCUUAUGUGGAAACAUCCAAAUUAUAAUUUUAUUAAUUAAUUAUUUUCAUGCUGCAGGGCACUCAAGGAAGAGAAAUAUGCUGCUCGCAGAGCAAUAUUACCUUUGCUUCAAGCUGAAGAAGAUGAAAGGUAGUAGCUCUUUUCCCACUGCUGUAACUGACAUACAGUUCCUGUUUGUUCAUUGAAGUUAUUCCUACUGCCUGCUUUUUUUCUUCCUAGAUUUGUGAAAGAGUGGAAAAAAUAUCUGGAGUACGAGGCAGAAAUAAUGAAGGACGUUCCAGGUUGGAAAGUUGGUGAGAAUGUCUACAAUUCUGGGAGAUGGAUGCCCCCAGCAACGGGUGAGCUGCGCCCAGAUGUCUGGUGAUACAAUGUUGUCAGUGUGCAUGUUUAAUUUUUCAAGACUCAAGAAUCAUUGCUAUCUCCUCAUCCAAGUUUCUUUUGUCACUUGGUGGUGUUUCUUUUCUCAUGAAAUAAAAAUUUAGCUGAUAAACUCCCUAUAUGCACUGUUAGUACCGCCAACAGAAAAUGUCAUUUACUUCAUUAUCAUCUUUCCAUCAUUAUCUGUUUAAAGAUAAAAUUUUCAGUACAGACGUUUUGGCAGUAAAUACAUCUUGGUUGUUCCACUUCCUUCUUAUUGCUUACUCUGGGAAUUCCAUUUUUAUAAAUAUGAGAAUGCGUGUAGAAUUGAGUUUUGUUCCUUGGAGGAACCAAGCAGUGGAGAUGGCUGGUUUGGCGGACAGUGGUUAUAGGCUAGGAAAAGACUAACGGUAUGUUUAGUAUUACUGUCAAGCUGUCGAGAAAAAAACUUUUUUAAAAAUACUAUUUGGAAAUAUUUAAAAAUAAUUUAGUUAUAAAAACACUAAAAUAACAAAACAAAUUUUUUCAAAUUGUUUUUUUUCAACAUUUAAAAUGGUGAUUAUUCAAACUAGUGCCAAACAACCCCUUGAUCACUUGAUGAACACCUACUGAUAAACUGGAUUCCUUGUUAUUUGCAUAAAUUUCAGGUCUCUGUCAUCUGAAAGUAGUCAGUGGACUUCUUCCAUGGCGUUUUGAAUUGCAAAGGAGGGAUGGCUCUCCCCUACUCUCAAAUUCUUACUCUAAAAUCUUUUUUAGAUAUAUUGUUAGCUUAUUUAAAAUUCCCUAGCUAUUUUUUAUUUAUCUACUAUUAUUAUUCAAAUAGAUAUAAACCAUAAGCUUAUUUUAAUUUUAAAAAACCAUCAACAUUAAAUUUAUAUUGCUGAAAUAUUUUCCUUAAAUUAGUAUAAAUUUAAGUAUAUGGAAAAAGUAUUAAAUUAAUCCUGCAUUGGCUACUGCAAAAAGGAAGAAUAUUUUGAUGCCCACACUUUUAUGUUUUUUUUUGGAUUAAUCUAUUCAACAUUUAAAUUAAAAUGCUAUUUAUUAAUUAAUAUUUGAACUUAAAAUUUUAAAUCAGUUAAAACACAAAUUAAUAAUGUUAUUAUUAUAAAAAAAAUAAAAAUUAUUGAUUAUAACACUCAAAAUUUUAUUGACUAUACUCUUAUUUAGAGUAUAAGCAAUCAAAUUUAGAAUAUACAAUCAAUAAUAAAUUUAAUGAUUUAUAAUUUUUUUUAUAAAUAUCAGUAACAUGGUUAACCUAUAUAUUUAAUUGCCAUAAUUUUUAUAAAUUUAAUUAGAAAUAUAAAUAAAUCAAGUUAUUUAUGAAUUAUUUAAAUUUAAUUUUUUAUUUUUUAAAAUUUAAACUCGGAUAAAAAUUUAUUUAAUAAAUAAAUUAAAAUUAAAUUUUACAAUAUUUUACUCGUAAAUUUAGUUUGUUUCCAAAUUUAGUAAUAGACUUGCAAACGAACUCAUUAAGUAGAUUUACAAAUAAAUUUAUUAAACAUUCUGAAUUUAAUAUCACAAGAGAAAUAGACUAAAUAUCAAAUAUGCACUAAAUAUUGAAUUUUUAUGAGUUAAGUUUCAACAUUUUAAAAUUGAGUUUCACUCAAGUUAAUUACACUCUCAAAGCUUGCAAAUAUUAGAAUUAUUAAAAUUUAAAAUUUUAUUUUUUAUAAAUUUAUGAAUUAACUUAUAUAUAUAUAUUUAUUUAAUUAAAGAUAUUUAAUUUUUAAUUUAGUUAAAUUUUAUUUUUUAUAAAUUUAUGAACUAACUUAUAUAUAUAUAUUUAUUUAAUUAAAAAUAUUUAAUUUUUAAUUUAUUAAUUUCAAACUAAAAUUUAUUAUAAUUAUAAAUAAGUUGACUAUUUAUUAACCAUUCAAGAUUAUAUUUGAUUAAUACUUGCUCCUCCCGGUUUGUUUGCUAAAUAAAUUAAGUUUGAAUUAAUUAAUAUAUUUGAUUUAAAUUUUAAAUGGAUUAGUUUAAACUAAAAAAUUUUUGAUAAAUUAAAUUUAAAUUCUUUAAAUUUAACUUAGCUCGAUUAAUUUUCUCUUAAAUUUAAUUUUUUUUAAACUGAUAAUUAGAAUUUGGUUGAGUAAAAUUAAGACCUCUCAAAUUUUUUCAAAUGCACCUACCAUCGUACUAAACCUGUGAGCGCCCCUUAAAUUUAGUUAUUUAAUAGGUUUAGAAUACUGUUAUAUAUGCAAUAUAGUUUUAGUUAAUCCAUUUCGCCAUAAAAAAGUUUAAUACUGAAUAGUAUUCGGUUCAAAUUAAAAAAAAUUUGAUUAAACUCAAUUAAAUAAAAAUUUUAAUUUAAAUUUUACUUUAUUUAUUUAUUUUUUAUUUUUAAAAAUUUCUAUUGUUUUAAUUUAAUUUAAUUAAAAAAUUAAUAAAAUUAAAUCAAUGAUAAUAAUAUAUUAUUUUUGAUAAUAUAAAAAUAUUAAAUUAUAAAAUUGAAAUACUUCAAUUAAAUUUUAAAAUAUUAAAAGUGAGGUGUUAAAAAUAAAAAUUUAAUUAAAAAAUUUAACCAUUCAAAUCAAAUUAAAUCGAAUCAGAUUGAUUCGAUUCAAAUUAAAUUUUAACUAAAAUUAUAAGAUUUAAUUUUUACAAACUCUAAAAUUUCAAUUUUUUAUUUUUUUUCUUUUUUCACAAGACAAAUUUGACGGAAUGCUUAACCCUAAUGAGAAUUGCUAGAUGCAUCAUGCAUGACGAUCACAUCUGUCGCAUGGAAUUUAAAAAGUGGCAAGUAUUUGACAAUCUCUAUUUAACUAGAAUUAACAAGUGAUUACCCUAUUCGAAUUCCAUUUUCUUAUUGAAAUUUCCUUGGUCCAGGGACUUCUUUCGCUGUUGCUAAAGACCAAAUAUCCAUUAAUUAAUCUUUUCUCAAUUGAAACUCUUGUGAUUAAUUAAGUUGGUUGAUUGAGACCUAAACUUAUUGCCCAAGCAAGAACGAUAUAACUUCAUUGAUCACUAUAAAAAGUGAUUGAGGUUACUAAAGAAGACCAAGAAAGUUGACGAUCUCAGAGAUGGCUGAAGUUAAGCUACUUGGAAAAUGGUUAAGUCCCUAUAGUUACAGAGUGCUAUGGGCUCUAAAACUGAAGGGUAUUCCAUAUGAGUACGUAGAGGAAGAUCUCUCCAACAAAAGCCCUUUGCUUUUACAGUAUAACCCAGUUCACAAAAAGAUCCCUGUGCUCGUGCAUGGCGGCAAUCCAGUUUGCGAGUCCAUGAUCAUCCUCGAGUACCUGGAUGAGACAUGGCCUGAAAAUCCCUUGCUGCCCAGUGACCCUUAUGAAAGAGCUGUAGCUAGGUUUUGGGUUAAAUUCAUUGAAGAUAAGGUCUCGGGUUUAAGAUAACACUCUCUUUUGUUUAAUUUAUCUUUCUGAUUCUUAACUCGUCUUCCUUUAUAUGUUUGCUGCAGGGUCCCUCAGCGUGGAGGGUAUACCGAACCAGUGGGGAAGAACAAGAGAAGGCAGUGAAGGAGAGCUUGGAAAUGCUAAAAACCAUCGAAGAACACGCACUUGGUGAGAAGAAAUAUUUUGGGGGAGACAAGAUUGGCAUGGUGGACAUAGCCUGUGGUGGAAUUGCUUACUGGCUAGGACUUAUAGAAGAAGUAGCGGGCAUAAAACUUCUCGAACCUCACAAGUUUCCGAAGCUACAUGCAUGGACUAAAAAUUUCAUUGAGGUACCCAUUAUCAAAGAUAAUCUUCCAAAUCGAGACGAUAUGCUGGUUUUCUUCAAACAGGCAAGGGAGAAGUUACUGUCAUCUGUAUGAAACCAUGUUGAAAACACCUAACACUCAUGGUUCGUCCCUACGAGAGGUGCUUUUGAGUCUAUGAUUAGUUCUGUUUAUCAAAGAAAAAUCUUUUUAAUUAAUAAAAAAAGGAGCUUCUUCUGUAUUCAGAAGCUUCUUGGUGUUGGCUGUUCUUUAUUGGAAGAUUUAAUUAAUGGGUGUGGGUACUUUCUAUAUUUAUAUAUUUUUUUCCAGAGGAUAAUUAAUCAACAUAUAUUUCAGCUAGCAUUUUUGUCUAAAUUUAAUCUGUAUUCUCACGUCUGAGAAUCCAAAACAAGUACCAAAUUUUAAAGCACUAUGCCACAAUUUUAAAAAUAUAAAAUAAAAUAAAAAAUAAUUUAACGCCAUUUCAGAUGGUGUAAGACCUUUAUUUAAAAAAAAGAAAUUUCUAAUACUUUUAUAAAAGGUGUCAAGAGCCUGACAUUUAAAUUCUAAAUUGAUAAUUUUUUUAUUUUCUACGCUAAAUUAACAAAAAUUUUGAAAUUUCCAUUGUUUUUAAAUACGAGAAUAAGUAGAAUUGAGUUUUCUUCCUUGGAGGAACCAAGCAGUGGAGAUGGCUGGUUUGGUGGACAGUGGUUAUAGGCUAGGAAAGGAUUAGGGACCUGUUUGGCACUACUGUCAGAAUUGCUGUCAGAGAAAAAAAUAUUUUUUAAAAAUACUAUAUAGAAACAUUAAAGAAUGAGAGAUUUAUAAUUUAAUCCCUGAGUAUUGCCAUUAUUAAUAAGUCAGUUCCUGUAUUUUUAAAAAUCUAUUAAAACGUCCUUAUCUUUUCUCUCCGUCAACAAAAUAGUCAUUCCAUCUAUUUUUGCCGUUAAAAAUAUAGUAAAAAACUAAAUUACCCCACAUUAUUUUCCUCUUCCUUCUUCUCCUCCUUCCUUUUCUUCUUCAUCAAUUCUUCCUCCUUCUUCUUCUUCUUUUUCUUCUUUUUCUUCUUCUUCUAUUUUGUUGACAAAUAUAGGGAGGGACGAUAAGGACAUUUUAAUAGAUUUCUAAAAAUAUAGGGAGGGACGAUUUCGUUGACGGAAAGAAAUGAUGAGAAAUGACUAUUUCGUUGAUGGAAAGAAACGAUAAGAACGUUUUAAUAGAUAUAAUAAAAGAUAGAGACUAUUUUAUUGACGAAAAAAAACGAUAAGUACGUUUUUAUUUAAGGGUAAAAUUGGAUUUUAAAAAUUUUCUCUCUUCUCCUUUAUCUAAUUUUAACGGAAAAUGGGACGGAAGAACUAUUUCAUUGACAGAAAGAAAACAUAAGGACGUUUUAAUAGGUUUCUAAAAAUAUAUGGACUAACUUGUUAAUAAUGACAAUAUCCAGGGACUAAAUUGUAAAUCUCCAUUAAAAAAUAAUCUAAAAUUAUUUCAGACAUAAUUUAAUUAUAAGAACAUCAAAAUAAUAAUAAAAUUUUUUUUCCAACAGCAUUGUAAACAAUGUGCUUUUUCUCUGCCCGCAAUGCCAAACAACUCACUUGAUGAACACCUACUGCUGAACUGGAUUCCUUGUUAUUUGCAUAAAUUUUAGGUCUCUCUCGUCUGAAUGGCAAGAAGGGAUGGCUCUCCCCAUCACUCAAAUUCUUACUCUAAGAUCUUUUUAUGUAUUUUUAUCUUAUUUAAAAUUCCCUAUUUAUUUUAUUUAUCUAUUAUUAUUAUUCAAAUAGAAUAAAACAUAUAUAAGCUUAUUUUAAUUUUAAAAAAAUAUCAACAUUAAUAUACAUUUUAAAUUUUACAAUUUUAAAAUCUAAAUUAAAUGGUAUAUAUUUUUAUAUUUUUAAAAUAAAUAAAACCCUUAGAUUUUAAUUUAUUUUUUUACUUAACUUAAUAUAAGUCUAUUAUUGAAAUAAAAAUAAGAGUAAAUUAUAUAUUUUAUUGUAGCACAAAUAUUUCAAAAUAAAUAAAAAAUAUCACUUCCAAAUAAUAAAAAUAACAUAUAAAAUUAAAUUAAAUAAUGAUUGAAUAAUUUAAGAAAAAUUUUAAAUGAAUAUUUAGAGUUUAAAUUUUUAAGAUGAGAAGUAAAUUUUUGGAUUGAAAAAAAAUAUAGAAGAGGAGAGAUUAAAUAGUAAUUUUUUUAAAAAAAAAUAGAUUAAAUUGUUUGAUUUUAUAAAAUAUAAAGUUAUUUUCGUUAAGUAAUUUUAAAAUAAAAAACAGGGAUUUAAUGGAAAUUUUCCUCAUUUUAGGAAAAAUACUUUCACACCCCUAAAGAAUUUGAAAAAUUUCAGCUCUGCUGGCUCCGCCCCUGCAUGGAAAUUGCAAUAUGCAUCAUGCAUGACGAUCGCGUCUAUCAACUGAUAAUAUAGCUCAGCCCCCAAGUUUGACUAUCUCUAUUUAACUACAAUUAACAAUUAAUUAAUUGCCCUAUUCAAAUUCCAUUUUCUUAUUGAAAUUUCCUUGGUCCAGGGGCAGCUAAAGACCAAAUAUCCAUUAAUUAAUCUUUUCUGAACUGAAACUGAUCUUGUAAUUAAUUAAUUAAGUUGGUUGAUUGAGACUUAAGCUUAUUGCCCAAGCAACAACUAUAACUUCAAUGAUCACUAUAAAAAGUGAUGGAGGUUUCUAAAGAAAACCAAGAAAUCUCAGAGAUGGCCGAAGUUAAGCUACAUGGAAGAUGGCCAAGUCCCUAUAGUUACAGAGUGCUAUGGGCUCUAAAACUAAAGGCCAUUCCAUAUGAGUACGUAGACGAAGACCUCUCCAACAAAAGUCCUUUGCUUUUACAGUAUAACCCAAUUCACAAGAAGAUCCCUGUGCUCGUGCAUGGCGGCAAUCCAAUUUGCGAGUCCAUGAUCAUCCUCGAGUACCUGGAUGAGACAUGGCCUGAAAAUCCCUUACUACCCAGUGAUCCUUAUGAAAGAGCUGUAGCUAGGUUUUGGGUUAAAUUUAUUGAAGAUAAGGUCUAGAGUUUAACAUAAAAUAACACCCUCUUUUGUUUAAUUCAUCUUCCUGAUUCUUGACUCGUCUUCUUUGGCACUGCAGGAUUCCUUAGCGUUGAUGGUGUACGGAACCAGUGAGGAAGAACAAGAGAAGGCAGUGAAGAACAGCUUGGAAAUGCUAAAAAUCAUCGAAGAACACGCACUUGGUGAGAAGAAAUAUUUUGGGGGAGAUAAGAUUGGCAUGGUGGACAUAGCCUGUGGUUUAAUUGCUCACUGGCUUGGGGUUGUAGAGGAAGUAGUGGGCAUAAAACUUCUCGAACCUCACAAGUUUCCGAAGCUCCAUGCAUGGACUAAAAAUUUCAAGGAGGCACCCAUUAUCAAAGAUAAUCUUCCAAAUCGAGACGAUAUGCUGGUUUUCUUCAAACAGGCAAGAGAGAAGAUGCUAGCAUCUGCAUGAAACCAUGUUGAG
This 54256-nucleotide long non-coding RNA is filed under the name Manihot esculenta (cassava). RNAcentral's name for it is "long non-coding RNA (MESC_LNC001873)". Lineage: Eukaryota; Viridiplantae; Streptophyta; Magnoliopsida; Malpighiales; Euphorbiaceae. The record is from RNAcentral.